GAGCCGACUGCCUGUAGGAAUCCCCCUUUCCAACUCCUUGGCCGAAGUCGAGUCUAGACUUUACAAAACUUUUACUAACAUGGCUGUGCGGCCCAUGGGCCCACGUCGCCAUUGGGUGGUAUUAGGAUCUUUUACUCCUCGACCUUUACUCUGGGAUUCUGAACUCUCUUCUAUUCGGGUUAAACGAUUUUGCUAAAAACAAAACUAACUUUAGGUUCUCGCAAGUACUUUCUCCCGGAGAGCCACUUGUUACCGAUUACCGCCUGCUGCACCAGAAGAUUUCGAGAUACUCUACGAUGUGCUCUGGAGACUAUGUGCCAUCGCUUUUGCAAUUCACUUCCAUCGAUAAAUCCCUCUGGAUAACUACUUACACCUAUCGUUCAUAUUGUCAUCCCCCGUUGCUUUUGUUAUUACAAAAUGUCCUGAAAUACUCUUCGGUAUUCCGAGAAUUCUUUACGCUUACUGCCCUGCAGUUCCUUGCUGCAUGAAUACCCCUACGGAUAAUUACUCGCGCUUGCCGAGUAUCCGCUCAUCCCCAGUUGUUCUUGUGUUUCACAAAAGUCUUCAAAAUAAUAUUCGAUCUUCCGAAAAUCCUCUGGAGCCUUUGGCUCUUGAAAUUCUUGCUUGCUGGCAUUAUGGUUAAUCCCAUAAGUCUCGUAGUCUUAAUGACAUUCCUUGUCAUUAUCAUUUUGAGUCUGUUGACUCAAUAUGUUGCGAAUACACGCAAUCAUCAUUGAUCCUUAUAAAUUACCUUUCCGACUGAGCUUCCAUUCUUUUAACGGGAAUUGGUUCUCGACCAAUCCAAUUGUCGUUGAUUGUACCCUAAGGCUAUUCAACUUAUCCCUCCCUAAUCAGUGCAUUGCUUCUGAUCCCUUGAUUUGGAAAUCACAAUUCCUUUGCAUUUGACAAUUGAGUUAGUCAGUUGUUUCUAUAAUCUGAUCUCCUUGCAUUCUUCUUCCUCUAGUUGAGUACCGAUACUCGUAUCAGAUCCUUUGUGGACCAUCAAGUCCUUUGUUGGAUUGUUAUCCGACAGUGUUCUUCACAUUUAAUCACUUUGUGAGUUCUUCCCCUGAUACAUAAUGCCUUUGUUAAGUUGUAUCCUCUGCUUGGCCAACCAUGCUCUGCUUUCGGGCUUGUGUUAUUUACUCUUGAAACUUGUGGUAUAUGUUUCUAAGAAGCCCCUAUGGGUUGAACAUAUGCCUUCUCUAAAUCGUGUGAACCCAAAAGUUUUCACGAGUCAUACUCUUCUGGUGCUUCACCAGAUAAAAUUUCAACACUGCAACUUCAUCGAACGUGAGAAGUGAAUGAAAGGUUAUGCAUUGGAGAAGUGGGAGUCGACCUUGAACUUGUGUUCUUGCCCAUGGACACGAUGUAGAUCUUAUCAUUAAAGCUUCUCUUAAAUGAAUUAUUCCUUUGGUAUAAGUUCAUCUUAUAUCUAGGAUCUGGCCUUCUGCAAUCGUGGUUCCGACCAUGAUUGUUCUUCUUUGAUCUCAUUUCUCGGACAAGUUAAAACACUUGUCUUCUGUGGAUCAAUACCCCAGUCCAACCUCUACUUUGAUCUGUCGUCGAGUAUUACCCCCUGGUAUCUCGAGGAUACCACGGGAUACAUAACUUCUUAUGAGUUCUUCAUCAACUAAUAUUCUUGCCGAUUCCAUUUUUCCAACGGGUUCUCAGUUGUUAGAACCCCUCAAGGACACCGACAACUGAAUUGAGUCCGCACUACGAUUCAACAACUCUUCAGUAAGCUUCUAUAAGUACGAGUUUGUACCCGAUCACGCCAUUCCUAGCCUGUUUGGGUAUAUCAUUGUCGUGACGAUUCUAACUGUGCUACCUGGCCCUUAUUCUCGGAGCACCAAUUUUCGACGAUGAACUAACCUUACGUCGAUCCUCAUCGCCAUAUCAUUUCGCCUUGAACAACAAGCUUGGUUUCGAGUUUGUGUCGUACCCUUGGUUCCAAUAACCUUUCACUUCAUCAUUACUUGACUUGAUGUCGUCACCGAUCGAUUACAUCUUCAUGAACUCUCGCGACAAAGGUGUCGUGAUCAUCAACAUUCUGAGCUCAUCCAGGAUAUCAAUUGAAUUCAUGAUGAGAAAUACCAUCCUUGCCCUCGAUGAAUUGUAUUAUCGUCGACCACUUUAUUGCCCUCCCACCAACACAAGCUUGUUCAUGUUUGGUGUUAUACCUUGAGUUCCUUGCUAUCCAGCAAUUGUUCUUCUUUACCUUGGAGUAUUACCAUCCUUUAUGUCAAGAAUGUUCUGAGAUUUGUUCCACCUCUUGAGAAUUCUUGACAUAGAAAUACUUCUCACCAUCACCAUUCUUUCUUGGUCCCCGUGUUAAUUCCAACAAGUGAACGGUGUUGUUUGGAUUCUUUCCUUCUAGCAACCCUAUUUUUUUUGAAGUUAAUGGUCGAAAGUUCAUUCUUAGGCUAUUGACUAUUGAAUCACCAUUCUGACAUUGGUCGUGCAACCCAACCCAUAUUUCGGGUGCACCUUUCAACCAAUGUUUAAUUGUGUAUGUUUUCCUCGAGCAUACAUCAUUAUACCAUUUGAUCUGACAAAUGUCAUCUUCUUGUUCACAUUAUUGUGGAAAUCCAUCUUUUGAAAAUCUCAAUGAAUUGUCGCUGAGUCAAUCAGCCACCUCCUCACCUCUCCUUGGUUUAAUGAUGAACUAUUGUUUCAGGAACCCGCUCCCAUAGUUCAUUUCCCGAGAAUCUUGCAAUGCCAUUUCAACGAUUUGUGUUGCGCCUUUUCUUCUCGGACAUCCUGAGUCUGAGGCAUCAUGACACCAAUUGGAUCUGAAUCUCGGUCAGAUAUGAUGGUUGGGACAACUUUCCAGGAGUUAUGUUGUUUGUCCUUUGAUGACCCGGUAACAUGAUGUCAUGCCUAGCACCCCCCCCCCCCUGGCUGGAGGACCUAUCAUUAUAGAUUCCUUUUCAGCAAGGUUAUCCAUUCAUCCAUGAGGAAAUUGUAAGACUUAUUCUACAAGUUAUUCCUGAUGGAUCCUUCAUGUUUCUAAAGUCUGAUCUUCACCUGAAGACCAUGUCAAUGCUAUCUCGAAGCAUGUCUAUGGUACUCCGAUUUUCAACAAAAAAACAUUUGAAGCCCAAUGCUAAAUGUUUCCUACUCGAUUAUCCAAACACCGCUGUAUGGGUAUGGUCAUCAAAUUCCUCUCCCCUUACCUAAAUGGUUAUCCACUAUAUCCUGUCGUGGAUAUCUUGCUCUGCUUGUCCUUGGGAAGGAUAUACCCCUGAAUUAUGUGUUUUAACACAUUUUCCUUUCCAUUGUUCUGUUUAAUCUGAUAUUCAUAUUUUCCUUUCCAUUGUUGUGUUUGACAUUCUUGUGAUCUAUAUAAUCUAAGCAGUAAAGAUUCACUGCUUAUGUAAACACCUCGAUGUAUAAUUGGUCAGUAAGACCCUGUUACGAUUGUUGAUGAUAUUCCGGUAACCACCGAUGGACGAGAACUUUGCCUAUUGGCCCGCCUCGUUCAACGAGCAGGAAAAUAGUUCUCUUCGUCCCUCGCCCUUGGUAUCGACGUUGUCGCCGACAUAAUCGACAGGCUACCCCCCCUGACAUGCCUUGCUUCCAUGAUCACGCAAGACGUCUCCGCCCUUCCUACUUCUAACCCACAUGGUGGGCCCAUAACCCACAGGUCCACUGGAUCGAAACCUGACUCUCCUGUACACCCUCAUGUUUCCAAAGUUAUUCCUCGCGCGUGGACUCGUAUGAAAUUCAUGAGCCACCUUCCUAAUGCUCUAUUCUGGUAUCACCCGCCAUACUUACUCUCGCUACUCUGAACCCCUUUCUCACUCUGGUUCAGACUUCGAGCAACUAUCUAUCUGCUUGAAACUUCUUAUUGUACCUUCCAACUUUACUCUCGAUGUGUUUUAUUUUGUUCAACUCGAGAGGUACUCAUUUGCUCAUUCAUGGGUUAAUCCCAGAUUAUUACCCUUAUAGCAUUCUGUCGUUGCUGAUCUGCCUCGUUACCUAUUCUUAAAUACGAUGAAGAUCUCGAAGAAAGGAUGCCGACUUCAUCCUGAUGACCUGAAGCAGAGGAAUGAAGACAUCAGUGUAAUGGAUUGAUCUCUUCAAGAAGAGCAACCAAAGANNNNNNNNNNNNNNNNNNNNNNNNNNNNNNNNNNNNNNNNNNNNNNNNNNNNNNNNNNNNNNNNNNNNNNNNNNNNNNNNNNNNNNNNNNNNNNNNNNNNNNNNNNNNNNNNNNNNNNNNNNNNNNNNNNNNNNNNNNNNNNNNNNNNNNNNNNNNNNNNNNNNNNNNNNNNNNNNNNNNNNNNNNNNNNNNNNNNNNNNNNNNNNNNNNNNNNNNNNNNNNNNNNNNNNNNNNNNNNNNNNNNNNNNNNNNNNNNNNNNNNNNNNNNNNNNNNNNNNNNNNNNNNNNNNNNNNNNNNNNNNNNNNNNNNNNNNNNNNNNNNNNNNNNNNNNNNNNNNNNNNNNNNNNNNNNNNNNNNNNNNNNNNNNNNNNNNNNNNNNNNNNNNNNNNNNNNNNNNNNNNNNNNNNNNNNNNNNNNNNNNNNNNNNNNNNNNNNNNNNNNNNNNNNNNNNNNNNNNNNNNNNNNNNNNNNNNNNNNNNNNNNNNNNNNNNNNNNCGCUGCCCUCGACCUCGGCGCGCCGACGCCGCUCGUCGUCUCUGGCGCCGCCCGCUACCUCGCCCCCGCCUCCUCGACGCCGCACAAUCGUUGGACCUCGCCGACGCCGUCCGGAGAAACCCCUCCCCGUCGUCAUCCACGUCGGCACCCGAGCCCGGCGCCGCGUUGCCCUUCGAACGCGCCUCGCCGCCGCAAUCGACAGCCACUUGGGCGAGCUCCCACGACGUCACCCGAAACUGCAUCGCCCUCCACCUCGACCGCCUCCUCGCCGACCUCGCGUCCUCAUCCUCUUCCCCGCCGGCCGCCAGCAAGCCUCGGCGCCCUCUCUCCCCAUCAACGCUGGUGAGGCCCCGGGCCUCUUCCCUUCUCUGCCUCACGCCUCGCUCACGGUCACCGCAUGCUAGACCGCCCACGUGCGCGCCCGCGGUGAGCACGUGCUCACCACGCCCUGCGCGUCGUGCUCCCCGCGACCGAGUCGUCCUCGGCGUGCGCCACCUCCUCGUGCCGCCCGCGACGUCCGCUCCUCCCGUUUGCCGCUCCGGCUGCCGGCGCCUCGCAGCACUCUGUCGGGCGUCCGCAACGCCCGCUGCGCCCAUUCGGGCCUUGCCCGUACCCGCGUGCCCGUUAGGCCCCACGGGCCACAAAUAUCUGGCCCCCCCUAGUGCCACUGACCGACUGGGCCCACACCCAUGUACUGAUUAGAACGAAAAAGAUAGGGAAUUAAAUAAAUAUAAUUAGUAAAAAUGAAAAUGAAUAAAAUUAAUUAAUUAAAUAAUUAAUUAAGUAAAUAAUUAAUUUAAUUAAUCCUGAUUAAUUAACCUAAUGGCUAAUUAACCUAAUUAACUACUGCUAAUUAAACUAAACUAGGGUAAUUAGUUAACAGUCACUGACGGACGGGACCCACAUGUCAGGUUGACCAGUCAACUCUGUUGACUGCUGACGUCAGCAUGACGUCAUGCUGAUGUCAUUAAUCUAUUUUUCGAAUUAAUUAAAUAAUUAAUUAAAUUCCAGAAAUUAAUAAAAUCUUUAGAAAAUCAUAUCUUUUAAUCCGUAACUCGGAUUAAAAUAUUUUCAACAUGAAAGUUGCUCAAAACAACGAGACGAAUCCGGAUACGCAGCCCGUUCGUCCGCCACACACCCCUAACCUAUCAAACCCGCAACUUUCCCCCUCCGGCUCCUCUGCCCGAAAACACGAAACACCGGGAAUACUUUCCCGGGGGUUUUCCCCCUUCACCGGUAUCACCUACUACCGCGUUAGGGCACACCGAACACCGCGUAUUGCCUUGAUAUAUUUUGUGGUGCUUUGUUUGCUCUGUAUUCAUUAUUUCUUCCCCCUCUUCUCUCCGGUAGACUACGAGACCGACGCUGCUGCUGACCAGUUCGACUACGGAGUUGACGACCCCUCUCUCUUGCCAGAGCAACCAGGCAAGCCCCCCCCUUGAUCACCAGAUAUCGCCUACUCUUCUCUAUACUGCUUUCAUUAGAGUAGUGUAGCAUGUUACUGCUUUCCGUUAAUCCUAUUCUGACAUUGUUGCUACAUCUGUUGAUACCUUACCUGCAAUCCUAAAUACUUAGUAUAGGAUGCUAGUUUACCAUCAGUGGCCCUACACUCUUGUCCGUCUGCCAUGCUAUACUACUGGGCCGUGAUCACUUCGGGAGGUGAUCACGGGCAUAUACGAUAUACUUUACACGGUUACAUUACCUGUGAUACUGUUCGGAGAUGGGGGCUGAAGGGGCAAGUGGCUCCAUCCCGGUAGAGGUGGGCCUGGUGUCAGGACCCCGACUCGAUGUCACAUCGAUCUAGCCGGUAACACUUCAUAUCACUUUGCGGCCUCACGCACGGUAUUCCCACGGGUGUCGCCUUACCUUUGCCCGGGACCGUUUGCGCCUUUUGGCUCACGUAUAUGAUAGUGUCGCUAGCAUCCAUAUGAUAAAGAGCCCGGGCUGACAUGACUAGUCGUAAACCCAAAGCGGCACAGACUUACAGGGACAGGCAUCCAUGACCCAGCUUCGAACGUGUCGGUCAUCAGCAAGUGGGCCCGGGCUGUAGCACUGGGCUAGCAGGACUCCGGUAAACCGGGCUGUAGCGGGCUAACAGGACUCCGGUACUCAAAGCGUGACAUUUCCCCGAAGGGACAGACACAGGAACGAAGAAGGACACAUGCCGGCCAGCCUAAGUGUUCCAGAGCAGUAGCAAGCUACCAUGGCUCAGCGGUAACACUAGGAGACAUUUCCCGGUAAGAGAGGCUACUAAAGAUAAACAACUAGAUAGUCAGAUCCCACACAUACCAAGCAUUUCAAUCAUACACACAAUAUGCCCGAUAUGUGCAAAUACAACGAAGCAUCACAACAUGACUCUACGACACAAGUACUUUAUUUAAGGCUCAGGGAGCCAUACAUAUCAUACACACAGGUACGGGUCUCAUGACCCAACAUACAAGUCAUACAGUCAUACAAGCCAACAGCGGAAGUACUUUGUCUGGGUACAGACAACUAGUAAAAUAAAAGAGGCUUGGAAGCCUAACUAUACUACGUGGUCCAUCACAAGCUCAGGGUCACCACCUGGGUCUUUAGCCUACUCGUUGAUGUCAACGUCUACAUAGAACCCAUCAGAAGGGGUUGCAGCGUCUUCUGUAAAAAUGUAGAUUAUAGCAACAUGAGUACAAAGGUACUCAGCAAGACUUACAUCAGAUCCUACAUACAUGCAUAGUAUCAAGAAGGGUUGGUGGAGUUAUUGCAGCAAGCCAGCUUUGACUCUUGGCUAGACUAUCCUACGAUACACCAACUUGAAAUGUUUUGCGCACACGAGUCCACUACUCACCACUUCAAUACACUACCGAGGAUCCACCUCCGUCUUCCUACGGAAGAGCCAUCCUCGGCACUCACACUUAUCUUGAGGCUUUUAAUAGUUUCCAUUUACUUGUCUAUGAACUGUAUAGGCAACCAAGUAGUCCUUUACCGCGGACGCGGCUAUUCGAAUAGAUCAUGUUAACCCUGCAGGGAUGUACUUCUUCAUACACGCUCUCACCACUUAUCGUCGCUUACACGACAUGUACUCGGCAACCUUCAAGCGGAAGCCCAACGUGGGUGUCGGCCACGACCUACCUAAUCACCUAAGCUUCCAGUCCAGGUUUAUCGCCUAUUCAGGUUCCAUCCGCAGGGAGUCCGGCCGAGGUUUCCCAUACGGCCCCGAACGAUGUGAACAGGGUUCCCGAGAUACCUAACGGGUAUUCGGUACACCCGGCCACGUACCUACCGCAUCACAGCCCACCCCUACGGUCAGCGCUGUCCACGGCCUCCAGUAGGCUACAAACACCAGAAACUACUUGCAACUCCUGGACGGAGAACUAGGGUGAAUAAGAAGUCGAGAGGGUCCAUUGGUUUCGGGCCCAAUGCAUGGUAGUAGCUGAUUCUUAAAUCACACAUACAGAUCUUAGUGCUUAAGGUCGGCUUCAAUGAAACAACCCACCAUGUACUCCUACAUGGCCUCUCAUCGAUACCUUUACCAAAUCGUGUUCACCACGCCACUCUCAUUACCGACAUAAUCAUUUCACUCUAGUCCAUCACCCAGAUGAACCAGACCUGACACGACUCUAAGCAUAGCAGGCAUAGCAAGGUAGGAACAACACAUACAUAUGGCUCAAUCAACUCCUACACAUGCUAGUGGGUUUCAUCUAGUUACUGUGGCAAUGACAGGUCAUGCAGAGGAAAUGGGUUCAACUACCGUAGCACACAGCAGUUUGAAUCGCGUUGUCUUAAUGCAGUAAAAUAGAGCAGGAGCGAGAACAUGGGAUUGUAUCGAUAUGAUCAAAUGGUUGGUUGCUUGCCUGAUGGUUCGUUGCACGGAUACGAUUCCUCGUUAGGGUAAUCACGGUACUCCUCGGGAACAGAUCCUGUCGCAAAGGAUAACGAUACACAGGCAUUACCAAACAAUGUGCAACAAUAUGAUGCAUGCAUGAAACAUGGCAAUAUGAGUGUGUUGGGCUAAUGCAACUAAAGCCAGAAGUGUUUGAGCAAAUUUGAAUCAAAGAUUCAAAUUUCAAAUUCAAAUAUGGCCUUUUAAAGUGCCUUUCCUUGUUCUGAUUGAAACAUCAAGUUAACUUGUUUGAUCAUGCAUGAAAAUAGUACAGAUGGAUAGAUUGGAUUUUUCUGAUCAUUUUUCAUAUAUUAUUUGUCCAAUUUGGAGUUACAGAAUAAAAGUUAUGAAUUUUUGAAGUUUAAAUAAUAUUCUGGAAUUUCCUGAUUUAAUUAAAUCCAGAAAUAUCAUUUACUGCGUCAGCCUGACAUCACAGUGACAUCAGCAGGUCAACAGGGCUGGCUCGGGUCAAACCUGACGUGUGGGGUCCACACGUCAGUGACCAGGUGCUAAUCCCGCGUUGACCCCGGGCUGGUUAGCUUUGACUAACCCCUGGGCCCACUUGUCAGCGUCAGUAGGUGAUGGAUUAGUGGUUAAUCAACUAGGCCACGUCAGCUCGCCGGAGUUCUGGCCGGCGGCGACCAACAGUGCGGCGGCGAUAGUGGUUUUGGUCGUUUCGGCCACCAAAUGGAACGUGGCGACCACCGGAGUGAAGCUGAGGACGACCCGCGGCUCUUGGCGGAGUCCGUUGGGGUCGGGGUGGCCGGAGUCGACGCCGGCGACGACUUUGGCGGCCACCGAGGUUCGGUCGGAGGUGAACUUGGUGCUAGAGGGUUCGGUGAGGCUCGUGGAGUGGCUAGCUAGGUGCUGUGGAACGCGGUGAGCAAGAUGGACACCAUCUUGUGGCCGGAGGAUGACCGGGAGCACGUCGGCGACGAGGUCCACGGCGGUGGGUGCGGUUGAGCUCCGGGAGGUUGCUACACGGCUCGGGAGCAAGAACAGAAGGGAGGGGAAGAUGGCUAAGCUCACAGUGAGUGCGACGGAGUCCUUGGUGCGGUCGGAGAUGGACCGGAGCGACGUCGGCGUUGAAGGGGAUCUCCGGCGACGGUGAGCUCGGGCGAGGUCGGUGCGGUGGUCUCGGGCGUUGCGAGCGCUCGGGGCUCGGCUGCUCGAUGAAGUGGACAGCGGCGAAGCUCCUGGACACGGUGAGACGGCGUGGAGACGACGGGGAGCACGGCUACGACGGUGGUGCGGCGAUGGUGGCGUCGGCCAUGGCUGGGGCGUGCGAGGGGGAGGAGCUGGAGAGGAGAGGGGGUGUCUGGGGGGUUCGGGGGAGAGAGGGAGGACGAUCCACGUCGUCACCUGGCGAGGGGAGCGGCGAGGCGGCGAGCAGGUGCGUGGCGCACGCCGCGGUCGCCGUCGGGCACCUGCCUGCCUGCCUGGCCGAAGCAGCUCGCUGGAGCGGUGCUGGGCUGGGCCGGCAGGUGGGCUGGCUAGUGGGCUGCGGUGGCGCCAGGUAGGGUUUUCCCUGUUUUUUUUCUAUUUUCUGUUUUAUUUAAUAAUUCUGCAACUUUGUUGAGUUAAAUAAAAUACCUAGGCAACUCCAAAAAUCACCAAACUACUCCUGGUCCAUAGUUGGAAUAUUUCCAACAUGAAACAUUUCAGUUUGGAGAUAUUUGAGCAUUUAAAUAUUUUAUAUUAUUUCAAAUGCCCAAAUUCAAAUAUCUAUGAUUUAAUUCAAAGACCCUAUGAUGGCCUAGAAAAAUGUGCACCACUUUUGUCAGAGGUUCUGAACCAAGGCUAAAAUGAUGGACAUUUUAGAAGGGCAUUUCAGGUUCAUUGAAAAAUUAUUUUAGUAACCCUAAUUGGUUUCAGAGGGGACUGGGGGUUCUGUCAUCCCCAUUUCAAGUUUCUGAUGAAAGAAUAAACAUGAUGCAACACUCUAAUGCAUGACUAGCUAGGGUGUGACACCUGGGUUCCCGACGGCCCCCGACUGUUACUUUGUGGCGGAGCGGCAGGGCAGGUUGAGACCACCUAGGAGACAGGUGGGCCUGGCCUUGUUCGGCAUUCGCGGAUACUUAACACGCUUAACGAGAUCUUGGUAUUUGAUCUGAGUCUGGCUACUGGCCUAUACGCACUAACCAUCUACGCGGGAGUAGUUAUGGGUAUCCCGACGUCGUGGUAUCAGCCGAAGCACUUCAGACGUCAGCGACGGAGCGGCGCGCGCCGGAUUGGAACGUAAGCCUGCUCUUGUAUUAAGGGGGCUAGUUCUGCUUCCGGCCGCCCACGCAACGUGCAGGUGUGCUAUGGGCGAUGGGCCCAGACCCCUGUGCGCUUAGGUUUAGACCGGCGUGCUGGCCUCUCUAUUCUGCCUAGGUGGGGCUGCGACGUGUUGAUCUUCCGCGGCCGGGCAUGACCCAGGAAAGUGUGUCCGGCCAAAUGGGAUCAAGCGUGUUGGGUUAUGUGGUGCACCCCUGCAGGGAAGUUAAUCUAUUCGAAUAGCCGUGAUCUUCGGUAACAGGACGACUUGGAGUUGUACCUUGACCUUAUGACAACUAGAACCGGAUACUUAAUAAAACACACCCUUCCAAGUGCCAGAUACAACCGGUGGUCGCUCUACCUCAGGGAUAUGAGGAGGGGAUCGCCGGGUAGGAUUAUGCUAUGAGAUGCUAUUUGGAGAUGCUACUUGGAGAUGCUACUUGGAGGACUUCAAUCUACUCUCUUCUACAUGCUGCAAGACGGAGGCUGCCAAAAGCGUAGUCUUCGAUAGGACUAGUUAUCCCCCUCUUAUUCUGGCAUUCUGCAGUUCAGUCCACUGAUAUGGCCUCCUUACACAUAUACCCAUGCAUAUGUAGUGUAGUUCCUUGCUUGCGAGUACUUUGGAUGAGUACUCACGGUUGCUUUCUCCCCCCUUUUCCCCUUUCCUUUCUUUCUGGUUGCCGCAACCAGAUGCUGGAGUCCAGGAGCCAGACGCCACCGUCAGAACGACGACGACUACUAUCCCAGAGGUGCCUACUACUACGUGCAGCCCGCUGACGACGACCAGGAGUAGUUUAGGAGGAUCCCAGGCAGGAGGCCUGCGCCUCUUUCGAUCUGUAUCCCAGUUUGUGCUAGCCAUCUUAUGGCAACUUGUUUAACUUAUGUCUGUACUCAGAUAUUGUUGCUUCCGCUGACUCGUCUAUGAUCGAGCACUUGUAUUCGAGCCCUCGAGGCCCCUGGCUUGUAUUAUGAUGCUUGUAUGACUUAUUUUAUUUGUAGAGUUGUGUUGUGAUAUCUUCCCGUGAGUCCCUGAUCUUGAUCGUACACAUUUGCGUGCAUGAUUAGUGUACGAUUGAAUCGGGGGCGUCACAAGUUAUGGGCGAUACAAGUCAUACUGCUUACCAGCAUGUCAUACUUUGGUUCGGCGGUAUUGUGAGAUGAAGCAGCCCGGACCGACAUUAUGCGUACGCUUACGCGAGACUGGUUUCACCGUUACGAGCACUCGUGCUUAAAGGUGGCUGGCGGGUGUCUGUCUCUCUCACUUUAGCUGAAUCGAGUGUGGCUACGCCCGGUCCUUCCGAAGGUUAAAACAACACUAAUUUGACGAAGUAUCGUUGUGGUUUUGAUGCGUAGGUAAGAACGGUUCUUGCUAAGCCCGUAGCAGCCACGUAAAAUUUGCAACAACAAAGUAGAGGACAUCUAACUUGUUUUUGCAAGGCAUGUUGUGAUGUGAUAUGGUCAAGACGUGAUGCUAUAUUUUAUUGUAUGAGAUGAUCAUGUUUUGUAACCGAAGUUAUCGGCAACUGGCAGGAGCCAUAUGGUUGUCGCUUUAUUGUAUGAAAUGCAAAUGCCCUGUAAUUGCUUUACUUUAUCACUAAGCGGUAGCGAUAGUCGUAGAAGCAAUAGAUGGCGUAACGACAACGAUGCUACGAUGGAGAUCAAGGUGUCGCGCCGGUGACGAUGGUGAUCACGACGGUGCUUCGAAGAUGGAGAUCACAAGCACAAGAUGAUGAUGGCCAUAUCAUAUCACUUAUAUUGAUUGCAUGUGAUGUUUAUCCUUUAUGCAUCUUAUCUUGCUUUGAUUGACGGUAGCAUUUUAAGAUGAUCUCUCACUAAAUUAUCAAGAAGUGUUCUCCCUGAGUAUGCACCGUUGCGAAAGUUCUUCGUGCUGAGACACCACGUGAUGAUCGGGUGUGAUAGGCUCUACGUUCAAAUACAACGGGUGCAAAACAGUUGCACACGCGAAAUACUCAGGUUAAACUUGACGAGUCUAGCAUAUAACAUAUAUAGCCUCGGAACACGGAGACCGAAAGGUCGAGCGUGAAUCAUAUAGUAGAUAUGAUCAACAUAUUGAUGUUCACCGUUGAAACUACUCCAUCUCACGUGACGAUCGGACAUGGUGUAGUUGAUAUGGAUCACGUAAUCACUUAGAGGAUUAGAGGGAUGUCUAUCUAAGUGGGAGUUCUUAAGUAAUAUAAUUAAUUGAACUUAAAUUUAUCAUGAACAUAGUCCUGGUAGUAUUUUGCAAAUUAUGUUAUAGAUCAAUAGCUCGCGUUGUUGCUUUCAUAUGUUUAUUUUGAUAUGUUCCUAGAGAAAAUUGUGUUGAAAGAUGUUAGUAGCAAUGAUGCGGAUUGGAUCCCUGAUCUGAGGUUUAUCCUCAUUGCUGCACAGAAGAAUUAUGUCCUUGAUGCACCGCUAGGUGACAAACCUAUUGCAGGAGCAGAUGCAGACAUUAUGAACGUUUGGCUAGCUCAAUAUGAUGACUACUUGAUAGUUUAGUGCACCAUGCUUAACGGCUUAGAAUCGGGACUUCAAAGACAUUUUGAACGUCAUGGACCAUAUGAGAUGUUCCAGGAAUUGAAAUUAAUAUUUCAAGCAAAUACCCGAGUUGAGAGAUAUGAAGUCUCCAACAAGUUCUAUAGCUAAAAGAUGGAGGAGAAUCGCUCAACUAGUGAGCAUGUGCUCAGAUUGUCUGGGUACUUCAAUCGCUUGAAUCAAGUGGGAGUUAAUCUUCCAGAUAAGAUAGUGAUUGACAGAAUUCUCUAGUCACCAUCACUAAGUUACUAGAACUUCGUGAUGAACUAUAGUAUGCAAGGGAUGACGAAAACGAUUCUCGAGCUCUUCGUGAUGUUGAAAUCGACGAAGGUAGAAAUCAAGAAAGAGCAUCAAGUGUUGAUGAUUGACAAGACCACUAGUUUCAAGAAAAGGGAAAAGGGAAAGAAAGAGAAACUUCAAGUAGAAUGACAAACAAGUUGUCACUCCCGUGAAGAAGACCAAAGCUGGACCAAAGCCUGAAACUGAGUGCUUACACUGCAAAGGAAAUGGUCACUGGAAGCAGAAAUGCCCUGAACAUUUGGUGGAUAAGAAGGAUGGCAAAGUGAACAAGGGUAUAUUUGAUAUACAGGUUAUUGAUAUGUGCCUUACUAGUGUUUAUAGUAACCCCUGAGUAUUUGAUACUUGUUCGGUUGCUAAGAUUAGUAACUCGAAACAGGAGUUACAGAAUAAACAGAGACUAGUUGAAGGGGAAGUGACGAUGAGUGUUGGAAGUAGUUCCAAGAUUGAUAUGAUCAUCACCGCACACUCCCUAAACUUUCGGGAUAAGUGUUAAACCUAAAUAAAUGUUAUUUAGCUUUUGCGUUGAGCAUGAAUAUGAUUUGAUCAUGAUUAUUGCAAUACGGUUAUUCAUUUAAAGUCAGAGAAUAAUUGUUGUUCUGUUUACAUGAAUAAAACCUUUAAUGGUCAUACACCCAAUGAAAAUAGUUUGUUGGAUCUCGAUCGUAGUGAUACACAUAUUCAUAAUAUUGAUGCCAAAAGAUGCAAAGUUAAUAAUGAUAGUGCAACUUAUUUGUGGCACUGCCGUUUGGGUCAUAUCGGUGUAAAGCGCAUGAAGAAACUCCAUAAAGAUAGAUUUCCGGAAUUAUUUGGUUAUGAAUCAUUUGAUGCUUGCGAACCGUGCCUUUUGGGCAAGAUGACUAAAAACUCCGUUCUCCGGAACAAUAGGACAAGGAGGGGGCGGCGCCCCCCCUUUCCUUUCCCCCCUCUCCUCCUUCCCCCCAAGUCCUAGUCCAACUAGGGAAAGGGGGGAGUCCUACUCCCGGUGGGAGUAGGACUCCUCCGGCGCGCCUCCUCCUAGGGCCGGCCGCACCCCCCUUGCUCCUUUAUAUACGGGGGCAGGGGGCACCCCAUAACACACAAGUUGAUCUACGUGAUCGUUCCUUAGCCGUGUGCGGUGCCCCCCUCCACCAUAUUCCACCUCGGUCAUAUCGUCGCGGAGUUUAGGCGAAGCCCUGCGCCGCUAGAACAUCAUCAUCGUCACCAUGCCAUCGUGCUGACGGAACUCAUCCCCGACACUUUGCUGGAUCGGAGUCCGGGGAUCGUCAUCGAGCUGAACGUGUGCUGAACUCGGAGGUGCCGUACGUUCGGUACUUGGAUCGGUCGGAUCGUGAAGACGUACGACUACAUUAACCGCGUUGUCAUAACGCUUCCGCUUACGGUCUACGAGGGUACGUGGACAAUACUCUCCCCUCUCGUUGCUAUGCAUCACCAUGAUCUUGCGUGUGCGUAGGAAAUUUUUUGAAAUUACUACGUUCCCUAACACGAUCCGCAUCCCUAAUCCGAUCACCGCACAGUAUAUCUCUGGCCCACGAGCUUGGAUGUAGUCGAGGGAGUCUGAGAUCAAACCAAGCACAAGCUUCGCUCCAGAAACGUCGUGCAUGGGAGCAUUGUAUUAACGCAUGCAUGAGAUCCUCCUCUCUUGCCAUGCACACUUUACAGGUGUCAAGAACUGACAUGUGGCGGUGCUUGAGGGUACAUUCAUCAGGUAGAAUCCCCCUCAAUACCCUCCACCAAAACACCCGUACCUUUGGGAUCACUUUGAGUUUCCACAAGGCUGUCCACAUCUGUUUAUCAUCCGUUGAAGCACCUGUAGUCGUCCCUUCUUCUAGAGCUAGACGCUCAUUUUGAGUCACUAGUACGCCGACUUAACAGUGUAGUUACCUGAUCGUUCAAAGGCCCAAGCAAAAAAAUCAUGUCCUCCUCCCCUCCUGAUUGGUAUAUUGAGAAUAGCAUCUGCAUCUGGGGCGAUAAAAGUUGUCCUUAUAAGAUCCUGUUUCCAUGACCAGUUCCCGGUGUCAAUGAGAUCCGAGACUUUCUGAAUAUUAGUGUUGGGAGGUCUGAAUAAAGGUUUCAUGGAAAUAGUUCCAGGAAUCCACUUGUCCAUCCAGGCAUCAAUAGAGCUCCCGUCUCCCACCCUCUUAACAAGUCCCGCCUGUAAAGCUUUCCUGCCAGCAAUGAUAGCUCGCCAAGUAGCAGAUGCUGAUUUGGGAACAGUAGCAUGCAAAAAAUCUGUGUCAGGAAAAUAGCGGCCUUUCAUUACCCUUGCGCACAGAGAAUUAGGGUUCGUCAUAAACCGCCACCCAUGCUUCCCGAGUAGCGCAAUGUUAAACUGUUGGGGGUCACGAAACCCCAUACCUCCUUGGCACUUUGGUGUAGCCAAAUUCUUCCAGGACACCCAAUGUAACGCAUUUUUGUCGAUGGAACUGCUCCAAAAGAACUUAGCCAUUGGUGACGUCAAACUCUUGCACACCUUUUUUGUUAAUAGGAAUGUGCUCAUAGAGUACGUUGGAAUGGCCUGUACAACUGAUUUCAACAAAGUUUCCCUACCUGCACAUGCGAGCAGUUUUUCAGACCAUCCCUGCAUCUUCCCACAAGCUCUCUCCCCGAUGUGAUCGAAAGUUCCACUUGUGAUGCGUCCGAUCGCAGUGGGUAGCCCCAGGUACCGCUCGCUAAAAGCCUCCACAUCAAUAUUGAGGACCGCUUUGAGCUGCUGUUUGAGCUGGGCCGGUGUGUUGGAGCUGAAGUAUACUGCACUCUUAGCACGAUUGACACACUGACUCGAAGCAUCACCAUAAACCCUCAGGAUAUCAUUCAGUCUUGCUGCACUUUGGGUGUUUCCACUAAUAAAGAUCAGACUGUCGUCUGCGAAAAGCAAAUGAGUUACCCAAGGCGAUCUGUAGCUUACUCUGAUCCCUCUGUCAAUAUAUCCAUGGUUAUAGUGCUUCAACAGAGAGGAGAAACCCUCCGCGCACGGCAGAAAAAGGAAGGGUGAGGCUGGGUCACCCUGUCUCGACCCACGCGAGGGUGAAAAGAAUGGCAAUAGCUCACCAUUAACUCGGACUGAGAAGCGCACCGAGGACACCGUACUGCUUCUACCUCACGCAGCUGCCAUGCACACGGGCUUCAGCUCCGGCGUCUGGUACAGCACCCACGCUUAUGCGUACGACGCCGGAGCUGGCCGCCCCCUCCACACCUGCUACGGCUGCGGUGGUGCUGGUGCGUGCUCCGUCGCCAACGGUGGCACGGCCCGCUCUGCUUCCACGCCCGACAGGACCUUGACCCACGAGGCUUCCGCCGUACACCACGAGCCGUCGAUCACCAUCCGAACCGGUAGCCGUCUCCUCAUCCAUGGCGACGCACUUCACGGGUCCGGUGUGUCAAGCCAGCACGCUUACACAUACGUGCUCCGUCCCGUCACGACGCCAAACGCAGAGGGUCCGGUCGGCCAAGCCGCUCACGACGGCGUUGCCGGGCACCACCAGGCACAUCACCGCCAUCUUGUGGCCCUUGAGCACACAACCAUAUCUCGACUCGCGUCGACCCAGUACUACUCCAUCUGUUCGGAAAUACUUGUCAUCGAAAUGAAUGCAUCUAGAUGUAUUUUAAUUCUAGAUACAUCAAUUUUCAUCCAUUUAUGCGACAAGUAUUUCCGGACGGAGGGUGUAGGUGAGAAGAAUGGAGAUUUUUCCGCUCCUUGUCGCGUAGCGCGUACAGCCCGCGUUUUAGCCCCUGAGAAAAGAAAAGUCUGGAUAAACGGAUAAUAAGAUAGACCCACGGCCAGGGGGGGCCGCUCGCCGGAGGCUGUUGCUCCUCCACGACGCCAGCGGCUACCUACUUACCUCCAUGGCCGCCGGCGCCGCGGCCGCCGUACACCACCACCAUCCUAUCGCGGCUUCGCUCCGCCCUGCUUCGAGGCGGCUCAGCAGCAGCAGCAGCGCCAGCAGCUCGCCGCCCCAUCCCGCGGCCUUCCUCUGCUGCUCCGGCGCCAAGACGCCGAGCAUCCAGCUCCAGGCUCCCCGCGUUGCGUUCAACCCCUCCGGCAACUUCGACCUCUCCCUCUCCGACCAAGACGGUGAGCUCUACCAACAUUAGCAUUAGCAGCCACUUCACUGAAACCCAGUUAAAAUACCACUCCAAAGUCCAAACUCUCCCUGGGACGAUUAGUUUCACGGCGCAACAUUAACAGACGGCAUUAUCUUCUUCUUUUUGAGCGAAACACAUGACCAGAUCUCAACAUAUGCCACUAUCGGAACCAUGAUUUUGGUUCCUGUCCUCAGUUUAUUUGUGCAAAGUCGUUGUGGCAGUUGAUUUUGGUAUUCAGUAGUUCUGGAGAGGUACAGUACAGCAUAGCAUACACCAAUUCUGCAUUGGUCAAGGCCUACAAUUUUGCCACCCACACACAACUGGUUUUAUUUUCCAACCAACAUGAUGGUGUUAAACGACAGGGAAUGUGCCCUGGAAAUGCUCAAGUACCUACAAACUGCUUCUCAUGUAUGGCACCCUGUUAUGCCCUGUUCAGCUGCUCUAAUACCUUCUUCAACGGUGAAGGAUUUCAUUGUCGUAUGUCAGUCAGAUUAUAAAGUCCUCACAUAAUAGUGUGUGCGUGGCGUGGAAUUCGUAUCGUUGUUUUCCUUGAGUGAGCUCAUAUAUUUUGCUUUCAAUUGAUAUCCUUUCAUGGCUUUCUUAGAUGCACCACAAGUUGAGCCUCCUCCACCACCUACCGAAGGGCGCAUCGAGAUUGUUAUCAACAAGGACAUCAUCCGAACACUUGACCUAUCGCCCGUCCAAGAAGCCCUCGGCAACCCGAAUUCCUUAACGACAGGUAGUCCUCGGACAUACCACGAACGUCAUGUGACUGCAUUUUGCAUCGGGAGGCUUUAACUGACCAGAAUCUUAUGCACAUUAUUCAGCUCAAUCAAGAAAUCUGUUGGACCGAACCGUUGGUUUCACAAUAAACUACGAGAGAGAGGAUCCAUACGACACGAGGGAACUGUCGGAGUUUCCAGAUGUAAGGCUAUGGUUUGUGAGGCUUGACGCUUCCUACCCCUGGUUUCCGGUGGUGCUUGACUGGAGAGCCGGUGAGCUCGCCAGGUACGCUGCAAUGCUGGUCCCUCACCAGGUAACGCUAUUUUUCUUAAAUAAUACAUUUUUCAAUUAAUUUUCAUAAAUAUUACGCUGGAUAAAACAAUUUCAAAAAUAAUACACCGUCGGCCCGCUGCUGGCCGACUGCGCCUAGUCGGCCCACAGCAGGCCGAUUGGAUUCCAGUCGGCCUACAGCUGGCUGACUGGCCCCUGUCGGCUCAUUGUGGGCUGAUUGCGCCCAGUGGGCUAAUUGUUUUUGCAAAAAAAGUAGGCAUAAAAAUAUAUGUUUAAAAAAAUGUUAAUCAUGUGAUUAGAAAAUGUUAAACGUGUAUAAAAAAUGUUCCUGAUGUAUACAAAAAAUUACAAUAUAUAUGCAAAAAAGUUGACAUAAAAAUAUGUUUUAAAAAGUGUUAAGCAUGUAUUUAAAAAUUGUUAAAUGUGUGUGUAAAAAUGUUCCUUAUUUAUACAAAAAAUAUAGAAUGUGUAUGAAAAAAAGUUGACACCAAAAAAAUAUGUUUGAAAAGUUGACAUUUUUUCAAAUACAUGAUUAAAAAUUGUUAAAUGUGUGUAUAAAAAAUGUUCCUUAUCUAUACAAAAAAUAUAGAAUGUGUAUGAAAAAAUGUUGACACCAAAAAAAUAUGUUUGAAAAAAAUGUUCUAGUUCCAUACAAAAAGAGGAACCAAUCAUACUUAGGUCCGUGAUGCUUCCAUACCGGAUCCGGAGCUGGAACAUUUUUUUAUACACGUUUAACCUUUCAUUCCAAUACAUGAAACAUUUUUGUGUACUCGUUGAACAUUUUUUCAAAUACAUGAUUAACAUUUUUUUCAUAUACAUUCUAUAUUUUUUGUAUAGAUAAGGAACAUUUUUAUACACACAUUUAACAAUUUUUAAAUAUAUGAUUAACACUUUUUAAAACAUAUUUUUUAGUCAGCUUUUUUGCAUAUAUAUUGUACAUUUUUUGUAUACAUCAGGAACAUUUUCUUAUACAUGUUUAAUAUUUUUUAAUUACAUGAUUAACAUUUUUUUAAACAUAUAUUUUUUAUGCCUACGUUUUUUGCAAAAACAAUUAGCCCACAGCGAGUCAAUUAGCUCCAGUCGGCUCACAGUGGGCCGACAGGACCCAAUCAGCCCACAGUGGGCCGACAAGGGCCAGUCGGCCAGCUGUAGGCUGAUUGGAAUCCAAUCGGCCUGCUGUGGGCCGACUAGGCCCAGUCGGCCUGCAGCGGGCCGACGGUGUAUUAUUUUUUUAAAAAAAUUACCCAGCAUAAUAUUUAUGAAAAUUAAUAAAAAAAAUGUAUUAUUUAAAAAAAAUUAGCCCAGGUAACCAUAGAAACCAUUUAUCUGAAAUCAGCACGUGUGUCCAUAAAAAAAAGUGAAAUCAGCACGUGUGGUCUCACCCUACAAAGUGCAGACAUAUAUACACUUUCGUAUCGUCGUGUUCAAAGUUAAUGAAAUUUAUGAACUACUACUGCAGAUGAGUAUGCGUCAUGGCGUGGUCUUCAACCCGGAGGCAUUGGAGCUGUUUGGGAUGAAGAAAGUUUUCCUCGUCUACUCGUGGCUGAAGCAGCAGAACCAUGCCAAGCCCAGGUUGAAGACGGGCGACAUGGCCAAGAUGCUCGGUUUUGGCAUUGGGGAUGAGUUGUUUGAUUUGAUCGAGAAGUAUCCUAUUGGUGAACUCUAGAUCUUCAUGCUGAAACAGUUGGUGAAGAGUAGAUAUCAUCCAGUUACUUACUGGUGCUACACAUAGUGUAUACCUGCCGUUCUUGCAUACAGGACAUGAAUGAAUCAUGAUGUAUAAGAAGGUAGUCACGCAAGGGAUCAUAUUUUGAGCGUAAAGCCUAGAGAAUUUUCCCGGGCAAUGCAGCACCAGAUGAUAAUCACAUGCGGGUUAUAGCCCUUUUUGUCUUUUAUGAAAUGCGCUCUUUUAAAAGGGCGCCAAAUCAUCAUUAAGGAAAAGCAGAAACAACCAAAGCAUCAUUUGGUCUUACAGCUAAAAGGAUUUGCUCUGUGCAUGGAGUGAAUGUGAUGAAACACUAGCUGCAGGGCUGGAUGCAAAUGCCUAGCUUGUAAGGCCGACUAAGAAUAAGGCUGAAUGCACAUAUAUUCUGCCUUCAAAUGCAUGGACUUAAUUUUCCCUUUUGAGGAUUGAAAUGCAUGAACUUCACAUGAAGCAGCCAAGUUCUCACCUCACCUUUUGUAAUCUUUCUCAGUAAAUACAGUUGCUUGAUUAAUCAUGGCUCCGUGUGUUAGCUCGUGACACAAGUUUGAUUGAUUUCAGUUCCUAAUGCCAGCUGAACUAACAAGCCAAGGAUUGACUUGGAUCAUUUGACAAUUUUUUUUUUGCCCGCGGGCAUGCUAAUCUGCAUCUCACCCUGCAUAAUAUAAAGAUCACCGGAAUCAGAUCUAAUACCUUUCUUUGACCGGUCACACACUCUAGCUAGGGUUCUUCUACGCAGGUUGUUUGCAUAGUUUUCCUUUUUUUUUUUGAGAAACAACAUUGCACGCACACGGUCACACCACCAUACACACACACACUCAAACAAAUGCCUACUGAAGGCCCGAUCGAAGUUGUGGAGUUUAAAAUUGAUGGAAUCGCCACAUGUGUCUAGUGUAGGGUUAAAAAACGCUCUUAUAUUAUGAGACGGAGGGAGUAGUAUUUAUUUAUGAGUUAUAUGACUAAAUGAUAUGAAAAACAGAUCUUAAGGAUUUUUCAAACCACAUUUAACAAGAGAUGUUCCAUUCGGUUCAAGCAUUUUAACAGGAGUGAUUUGUUUUUUUAUCUUUGUGGUGCAACCGACUUGGGUCAACUUAAGUAAUCCUAGUCAAAUAUUCGGGGUGGGCCCCGCCUGUCAUCGUGCAAUGUUACCACCGCCGUCUCCGUCUCCCUCUUUCUCCCGUCAUACCUCCGCUAUAAAUACCACUCACUUAGAAUAAUGAGCUCGACCGCCGACAGAAGCAGCUCGCGGUCUGCUCUUAGUCUACUCCUCGUCGUCGUCGUCGACCGGCGCCACGGCAGCAGCAGCAGCCAGCGUCCGACGGGAGGCCGACAUUUCCUCUUCGCGCGGCCCGAAUCCAAUCCGUAAGUCGAAAUCUGUACUUGCUCUCGAAUCCCCACCCAUCUCCUACAGUCCUACAGUACUUCCCUGCUGCGGUGCUGCCAAUGCCCGCCGCCAGUCGUCACCGUUCCCGCCGUUUCUUGGGGUCUCAUUGAGGAAUCCGAGGGAGAGCCGCGUGCCGGUUGUGGAUUGAUCCUCCGGUAAUGGCGGCUGUGUAGUGUGUGCUGAUGUUGCCGCUGUGCUGAUAUUGCAUGCUCGUCCUCGAGGUGUUCGAUGGAUUGUGCGCAGGGUGUCGGUCCGGCUGGUCUCGUUCCGGUCCUAACACGUUUCAUUCCGUUCACCGUCGGUUGCUGAAAAUGUGCACGAAAUGCAUAAUAAUACUGAUUUCCUGUCGAUGCAUACUUCUCCGUCUGCUUCUCUAGUUGGCAUUCAUGCUUCCUUUCAUAGACUUUCUGGCUGUAGCUUGGUUGUCGUAAUCCUGUCGCAGCUUCUCUCUGGUUAAAAAAUUGUGCUCAGGUUGUUUGGUUGAUUGCCGUUCCCAGGCAUUGUGUCCUCUUGCAGGAAGCACCCCAUCUUAAGCAUCGUAUAUAUAGUUCUAUGUUCUGUUAUGUUCGUUUUUCCUUUUGCUGUCUGAUUGACAAUUUGUCACCUGCGGCUUUUGUUCUCUCUCUGCAUAGCAAAAGUGUGCGCAGACUGGAAUCUGUUGAGAGUAGUAUGGCCACGCCAAAUGCUUUGGCUUUUACUUAAGGACCACAUUGCUUCUCGACUUUCUUGGAUGCUUGCCUUGCCAGCCGAACCUUGGAUCUAUAUCUUCCCAGUAGUAGUAUAAAUGGGGCGCAUACCAGAAUUGACAUUUCCUUCAUCGCUUCAAUUGGAUCUAUGUCGCAAAGUUUCUUUUCUUUGCAAUAUUCAAUCCAUUUUUUUAAUUACUGCAAUUGCUUCCCUAAAUUGUCAUUUGCCUUUUUGUGUCCUUUUCCUUUCAACGUUUUGACCGAGCCUUUCAAAUGUUGGUAGUCUUUCACAUGGAAUAUGUUACUUUAGGGAAUACAAGACUUAUGCAUUGGUAUGACGGUAACAUCUGUUAUAUGGUCCUUUUUUUACAGGGGGUUUUCAGCACAUAAUAAGUUGCUAACAUGCAGACAAGCGGCCAUUAGCCUUUGAACCAUUUGAGGCACAAUGGAGAUAGCUUUUCUCACAUUGUUGGUUCUCUCUCUGCUCCUGUUCCCUAGUGGCAUCUGCAAGAGUUUAGCUGCAGGGCCUCCAGUUGUGAAUAUUGGCUCUAUUCUUCAAUUUAACUCCACCACUGGAGGUGUUGCGGAGGUUGCCAUCCGUGCAGCCUUGGAAGAUAUCAACUCUGAUCCAACAGUUCUAAAUGGAACUACACUAAAGGUUAAAAUAAAGGAUACAAAUUGCUUUGAUGGUUUCCUUGGCAUGGUUCAAGGUAGGCUAGCUUUAACGUCACUCAUUCAUCGCAUCAUUAAAAUAAUUUUUGGUUCAUGGAGUUAUGAAAAUGACACCGUAUUCCUUGUAUCAGGUUUGCAGUUCAUGGAGACUGAUGUUAUUGCAAUCGUUGGCCCCCAGUGCUCCACAAUUUCUCAUAUCAUUUCAUAUGCAGCAAAUGAGCUCCGAGUCCCUUUGAUGUCCUUUGCUUCUGAUGCAACUCUUUCAACAAUACAGUUCCCAUUCUUUGUCAGAACUGGCUCCAGUGAUCUCUAUCAAAUGGCGGCUGUGGCAGCACUUGUUGACUAUAACCACUGGAAGAUAGUGACUGCCAUAUACAUUGAUAAUGAUUAUGGUAGAAAUGGAAUUAUUGCUUUGGAUGAUGCACUCACUGCAAAGCGUUGCAAAAUCUCCUACAAGGUGAGUUUUCCUUCCAAUGCUAAAAGGAGUGAGCUCAUAAAUUUGUUGGUUGGUGUCAGUUACAUGGAGUCUCGCGUUAUCAUUCUCCAUACUGGAGCUGAACAUGGACUCAAGUUUUUCUCCAUGGCAAAUCAACUGAACAUGAUGGGCAACGGCUAUGUGUGGAUUGCAACUGACUGGCUGUCUGCAUAUCUUGAUGCUAAUUCAUCAGUUCCUGCUGACAUUAUAUCUGGCAUGCAAGGUGUUCUUACUUUACGGCCACAUAUCCCCAACUCAAAGAUGAAGAGUAAUUUGAUCUCCAAGUGGAGCAGGCAAAGUCAUAAGUACAACCAUAGUGAUCUUCGUGUAAAUACUUAUGGUUUUUAUGUUUAUGAUAGUGUCUGGGCACUAGCUCGGGCUCUUGAUGCCUUCUUUGGUGAUGGUGGUAGGAUUUCCUUUUCAAAUGACUCAAAGUUGCACCAUGAAGCUGGGGAAACUCUUCACCUUGAAGCAAUGAGCAUUUUUGACAUGGGAAAUAAAUUAUUGGAGAAUAUCAGAAAGGUAAACUUCACUGGGGCAUCUGGGCAAGUGCAAUUCGAUGCUUCAGGUGACCUCAUUCAUCCUGCAUAUGACAUUAUAAACCUCAUCGGAAAUGGCAUGCGGACCGUUGGUUUUUGGUCAAAUUAUUCUGGCUUGUUGUCGACCAUCUCUCCAGAGGCUCUAUAUUCAAAGCCUCCUAAUACUUCUCUAGCCAAUCAGAAUCUCUAUGAUGUUAUUUGGCCUGGGGAGACUGCACAGAGGCCUCGAGGGUGGGUUUUCCCUUCUAAUGCCAAGGAGUUAAAAAUUGGUGUUCCCAACAGAUUUAGCUUCAAAGAGUUCGUCACGGAAGACAAUGCUACUGGGUCAAUUAAUGGUUAUUGCAUCGAUGUCUUUACUCAGGCAUUGUCCUUGCUUCCUUAUCCUGUUAGCUACAAGCUCAUACCUUUUGGGAGUGGUACUGAAAAUCCUAGUUAUGACAAACUCAUACAGAUGGUUGAAUCAAAUGUAAGUAUGAACGCCACUUUUCUUCUCCUAACCAUUUAUCAUACUGUACUGACCAGGGGCAUCUUAUCCUGCAGGAGUUUGAUGCAGCUAUAGGGGAUAUUGCAAUUACAAUGAGCCGGACAGUAGCUAUAGAUUUCACCCAGCCAUUCAUUGAAACAGGCUUGGUUAUCUUGGCUCCAGUUAAAAAGCAUAUAAAAACAUCCUGGGCAUUCUUGCAGCCAUUUACUUUGGAGAUGUGGUGUGUUACAGGGUUGUUCUUUCUUAUUGUGGGUGUGGUUGUUUGGGUUCUUGAACAUCGAAUCAAUGAGGAUUUCCGGGGUCCACCAAGUCAACAAAUAAUAACUAUUUUCUGGUAAGAAGCUGAUGUGCACCUUUUGUAUCGUCUUCCUGUAUGUCAGUUCUGUUUUCGUAGAAAUGUGAAGGUGCAUACAGACAAACCUUAGAACAGAUGCCUGUUAACAUACCACGUGAACUACUCCCUCCGUCCGGAAAUACUUGUCGGAGAAAUGGAUGUAUCUAGACAUAUGUUAGUUCUAGAUACAUCCAUUUUUAUCGAUUUCUUCGACAAGUAAUUCCGAACGGAGGGAGUAUUAUCUUGUGGUGGGAUGUAUAUAUGCACAGUAUGAACCAAGAACUCUACCUAUAGACCUGUGUUGCUAAGUGGGUCCUACUUAGCUUUUUUCGAAAAGGAGGUCCUACUUAGCUAUAUAUUCGCUUUAUGAUAUUAUAAUGAUUUUCUUCUGUCUUUGCACUUUGCCACAUGUAUCGCCAAAUGCUCUUAUAGGCGUGAUUUCUUGCUCUCAAAUGUGUGAUUAUAAUCUCAAUUUUGAUUGCCUGUAGGUUCAGCUUUUCGACUCUGUUCUUCUCCCACAGUGAGUAAACUAACCUUCUCUAUUAUGUGUUUGUUGUUUUUGCUAUAAGUAAUAUUUUUUUCUGGCGCACGACUCACGAUUUCAUCUGUAUCUGCUUGCAGGAGAAGAUAUUAGGAGUACCUUAGGGCGUGGUGUCCUGAUCAUAUGGCUAUUUGUUGUUUUGAUCAUUGUAUCCAGCUAUACCGCGAGUCUUACUUCCAUCCUGACCGUGCAACAACUUGAUACUUCUAUAAAAGGAAUCGAUGACCUGAAAAGUAGUGAUGAUCCUGUUGGUUUUCAAGUUGGUUCGUUUGCACAAGACUACAUGGUUAAUGAACUGAACAUCUCACGGUCAAGGCUACGGGCUCUUGGUUCCCCACAAGAAUACGCUGAUGCCCUGCAGCUAGGCCCUAAGAAAGGAGGUGUUAUGGCUAUUGUCGACGAGCGCCCCUAUGUUGAGCUGUUUUUGUCAACUUACUGCAAGAUUGCUGUAGCUGGCUCAGAUUUCACCAGCAGAGGAUGGGGCUUUGUAAGUACAUUUAAACUAUAUUCUUUAAUACAGGUUAGAAUAUGAGAACACCAUAUUUUGGUGUUAAAAUCCUGGAAUAACAGCUUUAAUUUUGAAUAGUCGUGUGUACUCUCUAGUAUCAUGCAACUUUCCUUGCACUUGUUUGCGGGUGCAAUUCUAAAAUCUACAUCUACUUUGUUUCACAAAUCAAAAUGUAGCACCUUACAAAGUUCAUUCUACCAGGCAUUUCCAAGGGACUCCCCUUUGCAAGUAGACCUGUCCACCGCAAUCCUGUCAUUGUCAGAGAAUGGGGAGCUGCAGCGGAUCCGUGACAAGUGGGUCAAGACAAGCGAUUGCACAACUGACAACAGCGAGUUUGUUGACUCGGACCAGCUCCGUCUUGAGAGUUUUUUUGGCCUGUUCCUAAUCUGUGGUGUGGCAUGUGUCCUUGCGCUGCUCAUCUAUUUUGGUAUCAUGCUACGCAAAUACCUGAAACAUCAUCCGAGGAGGAGCCUCAGAAGAUUCAUUUCGUUCGUCCAUAGCAAGGAGCCACCAAAGAACAUGGAGAGGCGAUCCAUGAGCCUGCUUAGAAGCUCGACACCAACAACGCCAAUGAGCAGCCUUACUGCCCUUGACAUAGAAAGGCUGGCCAGGCCAGUUAGAAAUGACAGUGCUAUUGACAUGGAAAGCUAGUUCAUCUGUACAAAGCUAGUGCAUGGUAUUUGGCAAGUCAGGUGGUCAACUGUUCUGUGUGAAACAACACUGGGGUCAACUAACCUGUGUAUAGAGGGGGUUCAAAAUUACUUCUUAAGUACUAAAGUUUAAGAAAUAAGAGAAGGAAGGAUCAGUUUUUUCUUUUCAUGACUGUAUUUUGGGGGAUAUUGUGCCGCUUCAGACUUGGCAUUUGGUUGUGUGGUCUGUUCAUUUGUUUGAUUGGGCGUAGUGUGGAAGUCAGUAUUGUGUGGACUGAGUCUGCAGGCUGCAGCUAGUACUGUUUGCCAUGUGGCGGUGCCUGUAGAAUGUCUCUAGAAAUGUAGUACUAAACUUUGAUGUUCAUUCAUAAAUUAAUUGAGAUGGAGCUGCACAAAAAAUGAGUUACUGUAGUUCUUUUUUGCUCUGUUUUGUCUGAGUUUUAUUCAGGGCAACUUUGAAGCUUAUCUUAGGGUGGUCACUAGAAAAAUGUGUUAGCACCUUCCACAGCUCUAAAGAAGAUAAUGAAAGAGAACAUAGGAAGAAAUAGUCAUGAUCUUAUCAGGAAAGUGAAGAAAAACACGGACACUGUAUUUUUAUUUCUCUAACUCUUUGCCUACACAAAAUUAUUUAUGGAUUAGCUCCAAUUGAUGACUGCAUCGAUCCCAAGCUAGCUACUUGUUUCUCUCAAGUCAUAAGGAACACCAAGGCACUGGUCUCAAAAGAGGAAUUUCCUGCAGGUUUGUAAUUCAUCAGUUUUGGUUCUUGCAUGCACCUCUGAGAAAUAAACUGCAGCUAUCAUAAAAAGAUAAUAAUUCUCAGUAAAUAAUUCUUGCAGGGAUGCUUGAGUGGUAGGCAGAUAAUAAUUCUGCCAGGGAUGCUGCAACUUCCUGGGAGCAAGUGAUUAGUGGUACUGGGUUUGUCUAUUCUAGUGAUACUGGCAGUGAUACUGGGUUUGCUUUUCUGAUUUCUUCCAAAUUAAUAGUUAUGCCUACAUUGGGAGUGCCAACUCUGCUGUAACUUUUCUGUGAGGCAUAACAACUGGAUUCUCGUUGAUAUAGGGGAAAGCAGAAACUAGUGUCGAUGCCUUUUUAUUUAAUUUAGUCAUAAUGAUUGACUUAACAUAUUGUGUUAUUAGAGCUGUAUAGGGGAUUCUGUAUUUCUCUUGAAAACAAAAAAGCAACAAUAGAAAGAGUUUCUCUACAUGAUGGAUCAAAUUUAUUUCCUAAGGAAAUACAUAAUGUAUAUAUAUAUAUAUAUAUAUAUAUAUAUAUAUAUAUAUAUAUAUAUAUAUAUAUAUUUCUCAUUCUCUUCGGUACCUGUUUUUUUUAGGAAAAACAGUAGGCGAAUUUCCUACUGCAAAUUAUUAAAUAGGAAGGGUUUUUGUACGCAAUGGAGCGAUUUUUCCCUAAGAACAAUAAAUAAUGUAUAUAUAUUUCUCAUCCUGCUCAAUACAUGUCCUUUUUGAGGAAAAACAGUAGGUGAAUUGCCUACUGUAAAUAUUUUGCCUUCUGUAAAUAUUUUAAAUUAUAGAAGUAUGUCAUAAGUAAGGCUAGCAAAAAGAAAAGAAAAGCAAGUGCUAAAGAGCUACAAGAAGUUAGUCACCCCGGUUCUGAAGCUGGCAUAAGAAGCCCUGUUAGCUCUGUGAAGGAUCAGCUCAAACUCAUCCUUACAAAUCUUUCUGCAUCUAUAUAGGCUAGGCAAUCUGUCCAUAAAUUUGGUAACUUUGAAGAGAAAUAUUUGGGGCUGCCUACGCCUGACAGCCGUAUGUCAUGAGGUAAGUUUCAGAAUUUGCAGUCGAGGCCUCUGAAAAGAAUUAUUGCUUGGGGAGACACCCUCUCUCUUGCUGGCAAGGAAACUAUGAUUAAAGUUGUUGAACAAGCUAUCACAACUUAUAUCAUGGGUGUAUUUAAACUCCCAUUGUCAGUGUGAUGAUCUAAACAUGAUGGUUCGGAAUUUCUGGUGGGGCUCCUCCAAAGGCAAGCAGAAAAUGCACUGGAUGGCUUGGCCGAAAAUCUUGGCACGUAAAAUGAAGGGUGGUUUGGUUUUCAGGGACUUCCAUCUCUUCAACUAAGCCUUCUCGCAUGGUAGGACUGUCGUUUUCUUAAUAAUCCUAAUAGCUUGUGUGUGCAAGUACUAAUGGCUUGUUAUUAUAUCCAGACGACCACCUCGAAGAUACGGUGUUUUCGGGGAACGCCUCCCCUACUUGGCAGGCCAUUCAAUAUGCCCUUGAGCUCCUGAAGAAAGGCAUUGUGUGACGCGUCGGUGAUAGGCAAAAAAACAGAAUUUGGCAGGAUCCUUGACUGCCUAGGGAGCCAAUGCGCCAACCCAUCUCACAGCAAGGUAUUUGCCGUCUCAAGAGAGUGGCGGAACUCCUGGACGAGUCUGGCGCAUGGCACCUGGAUCUUCUUCGACGCCACUUCCUCCUGGUGGACGUUGACAUCAUCGCCAACAUUCGCACAUCACCCCGUAUCACCGACGACAUCAUCGCCUGGGCACGGAGAAGAAUAGUAUCUUCACUAUUCAUUCCGCCAAUCGCUUUGCCAUGGACGAGUGCGAGCGUCCAUCGGCAACCGCCACAAGCAGGGCACUAGAUGGUCGUCGCACCUUCUGAAAUAUCAUAGGAGGGUGCCCUGCUCCCUCGGAGUACGUGUCUAUGCUUGGAGUGAGGCUUGUUUCCAACUCUCUGGCUACUUGGAAAAAUAAAAAAAAUUCUCGCCACCUCGAAUAUACAGACGUGUGUCCUAUUUGUGGUGUGGAACACGAGGACAAUUUUCAUGCAAUGUGUAGGUGCUCCCUGGGGAAGAAUCUCUGGCAUGCCAUGGCCUUGGACUGGUCGUUGUCGGACAUUGAUGUUGUACGCAACACUAGGCCAGAGUGGCUCUUUACCAAUAAUCCUAGACGUACGGGUUCUUACAGGCAUUCACGGGGCCUUCCCUUAAAUCUCUUCGGCCCCCUACCCGGGGUGGACCCGCCUCACUCUCCUUCUAUCCAAUUCUGUUAAGCCAACUCAGCCUGUAAUUAAACUUUGCCCGUAAUUUCAUGUACGUGUAGCAUUGCUCGCUCUUUACCCUACCCGAGCCGCUCUCGAAAAAUAUUCGCAUGGUAGUCCUGAUGACCAUGAGCCGCGUGUGGUACGUUCGGAAUGAACUCACACAUGGGAAGCCAGCCCCUCCAUCGAGGAAUAUACUAUAGAAAGGUUGUUGGUCUUCCCAACCAUAUGAGAGCCAUCUGCGCGAACGAGUGAUUUCACUCAAUACCAUGUUUUCCUCGAUGCUUGUUCUACAUAUUAUUUUUAUUAUAUCUAAUUAUCAAACAUAACAAAUAACUACAACCACUAGAAAUAGUAUGGAAGACAAUUCAAAGGCGUGGACGAGCUCGUCUGGUCACGGAAUCCAUAGGCGUCCACUCGCAUCAGGAUGUGAGACGCAUGUGUAUUUGCGUCGUCUAGGUGGCUUAUUUAAUGCGUAUGAGUCCGACCGAAGCAGUCAUGGGUGUACGCUGCAGGGCAACAGACGUCUUUCCGUCAAAGACAUGACGGUGGCAUGGUUCUGUACCAACAUGUGCCAAAGGUACGUCUGCAGGAGAUAAAGAUGCGACAGUAUCACGUCGUGCUGGAACUUUUUCUUUUAUUUGAAAACCACGCUGUGGUGGAUGGAUGGUAACAUUAGAUGUUUGCAUACAUAUGCAUGUAAGACACGGUCUAGGUGCGACAAACUGAAACUAACAGCACAAGUACACGGAGCCCUCAACAACACACAAGAAAAAUACAGCGGAGCAGAUCCGCUCUAAUCUUACCCCCAAAAACAGUUUGCAGCUCCCGUAAAACAGAUUUGUAAUAUCGCACGGCGUCGAGCGGAUAAAUUUGCGGUACGGGUUUGCGGCAUCUGUUUCGUCUGAUUCGCGCGGUACUGUAAAUCCGUAUCGCAAAUUAUGAUUUCAAAUAAUAUAUUGUAAAUAAAAACAGAAACACAUAUCAACUUAUUAAAUGUCUUAACAUCAUGCAAUACAAUAAAUUUUGAAAUCUGAAUAACAAAUGGUCCAAAAUUAUUACAAUACAAAUGGUCCGCAAUUUAAACAAUUGUUCAAAUCACACACUAAUACAAAUAAAUCAAAUUAAUAAAAAUGGCAGUCUAUUUUCUAUACAGUUGCAGCUGGCGCUUAAUGAGAUCAUUGCGGAGUUGCUGAUGUGUGUGUCCCUGUCUUCAGUCUGCUGGUAGGUCUCAAGAAAUGCACCGAUCUCAUCUAGGUUUCUGGUGGGCUUGACACGGCUACCAAUAUUGUCAUAGAAACACUCUAAUUUUAAAUCCCUCUCAUCCUCGAUGAUCAUGUUGUGUAGAAUUACACAUGCAGUCAUGAUAUUUGAGAGGGAUUUCUUAUUCUAGAUUCAAGCAGGACCUCGAACAACGGGAAACCGAGCUUGCAACGCACCAAAUGCACUCUCAAUAUAUUUUCGGCAUGCUUCAUGUGCUUGGGAAAAAAUAGUUUGUUUAUUUGCCUACUGGCUUACUAAUUGUCUUCACAAAUGUUACCCACCAAGGAUAAAUACGGACGGCAAGAUAAUACCCCAUGGUAUAAUCAUGUCCAUGAUGGUGUAGUUGCAAGCCGGAGCUAUUCCACUAGCUAGCCGCGCGAAAAGAUGUGAUCUAUGCAAUCCAUUGAUAUCAUUGAGAGACCUCAGCAAUCCAAAGAAGCAAUGCCAAAUUCACAAGUCUUACAAAGUCACGGUUUCAAGCACAAUAGUGGAUUUGCGGUUACAGUUGAUNNNNNNNNNNNNNNNNNNNNNNNNNNNNNNNNNNNNNNNNNNNNNNNNNNNNNNNNNNNNNNNNNNNNNNNNNNNNNNNNNNNNNNNNNNNNNNNNNNNNNNNNNNNNNNNNNNNNNNNNNNNNNNNNNNNNNNNNNNNNNNNNNNNNNNNNNNNNNNNNNNNNNNNNNNNNNNNNNNNNNNNNNNNNNNNNNNNNNNNNNNNNNNNNNNNNNNNNNNNNNNNNNNNNNNNNNNNNNNNNNNNNNNNNNNNNNNNNNNNNNNNNNNNNNNNNNNNNNNNNNACCAAUGCAUACAAUCCACACUCCCAAGCAUGCUCGACCAUCCUCUUGCUUCGUUCAUCGCCGUCAAUUUUUUUGUUCUCCUCAUUGGGAGCUUGAAGGUACUUGGGACCAAAUACCCGGAUCAAUGUUUUUACAAACACCCACACACAUUUGAGCGUGGUAUCUUCUCCAAUGCAAAGAUACUGAUCGGUGUAAUCAACUGGAAUGCAUGAAAUCCAUUCUCCCAAGCAUGCCCGACCAUCCACUUGCUUCGUUCAUCUCCAUCAAUUUUCUUGUCCUCCUUAUUGGCAGCUUGAAGGUACUUGGGACCAAAUACCCGGAUCGGUGGUUUUACAAACACCCGCACGCAUUGAGCAUGGUAUCUUCUCCGAUGCAAAGAUACUCAUUGUUAUAAUUGGUCGGAAUGCAAUAUGCUACCACUCUCAUUGCCGUCGAUAUUUUUCGGCAAGAACUAAAUCCAAGCAAACGGCGGCAUUCCUCUGGCGAGUGAAGAACCGGCAAUUUUGCUCGCAAACUUCCACAAUGCGAACACAAGGAUAUUAUUCCCUCCGUUCCUCCACAAUGCGAUGCACGGUGACCAAGUGUCGGUGUACUAGAGUAGGGGUACCCUAGUAUCCCGAACUUGUGCACGGGCAGUCGCAGCGCCUCACGGCAAGGCUUGCCGGGUGACCGCCCAGGUCCUCCGUGGUUCCUUUGGAGCCAUUCAAGAACAAAGUGUUCAAGUCAAGGAGACAAGGCCCCGGCAAGAGGAGCUUGCCGGGAAGGCCAACCAAGGCAUCUCAAGGAACUUGCCGCGACGCGCCUCGCGUCCCGGCAAGGCCCGGUGAGCGACAAGCUUCCGGGCGCGGCAAGACAACAACCGCGGCAAGGCGCUUGCCGCGGCAAGCUACCAUCCUGUACCCGCGCUCUAGCGCAUCCACCAACGUGUCGCCCUGGGGCCUUUCCAGGCGUGUGUGGCGAGAGGCUGUGCAGCCAACGGUGCGAGGUGGCAAGCGACGCUGACAAGAUUGCCAUCGUGGCGAGCGGUGGCGCCCCUGACGGUCCCUUUUUUGCACUGUUUGGGCGACACAGACGGGCAUUUAAUGCCUUUGUCCCCUGCCGUCAGGGUUAGGUAUGAUACACUGUUCAGGUAGUUGUACCAACCGCAACUCCUUUUCCAUUUUUGCCCUUGCCUACGUUGCCACCUGUCGGCGACCCCUUGAGCAUAUAAAAGGAGGCCCAUGCGCAACGUAGAGGGGGGUUCGAAACUAGAAAACACUCAGGCUCGGUCUCGUUAGCAGCUAGAGUGUACUGUAGCAUUCAGCGCUCCCGAGCAAGAACAUAAUACAAACCACAAAGCAGCAGUAGGAUUAUUAUCUCUCCGGAGAGCUCCGAAGCUGGGUAAAUCGCUCGUGUGCUUCGCCUCGAUCUGCUCUUCGUGCGAUCUCCGCCCCCCGCCGAACCGAAAGGGGCCCGGUCCGCCGGCCCCAUAGGUGUUCGUUCCCACGACAUCUAUGGCGCGCCAGGUAGGGGGCGUCGAGGUUGUGUGAACCUGAUCCAGCGUUCACGCGAACUAGAUCUUCAUCAUCUUCAUCGACAUGCCACCGAAGAAGAAGGCUUCGGAGGUGGCUGCUCCAUCCACGUCGAUCCCACCGCCACCGGAGCAAACGGGUGGUGGGGUAGACGCCGACGGGAGAACGGGCGUCGACAAGGGAGCUCACGGUGCUGCCAGGUCCAAGGACAAGGCUGCACAGACCUCAGCGUCCGUACAUGCACCGCGCCCAUCUUAGGAGGUGCGGGACCAACAACGUCGUGGUAUUCGCGGUACCAUACGUUCGUUGGACCGAGAUCGAGCUGGUGGAUCUCGGGAUGCUCAAGACCAGCAUGCGCGCCAACAUGCUGGCACGAGCAAGACAGGGUCGCCUAGACGGGAUGCUGCUCCUUCUAACAUAGUUAGAAGUCCGAGCAUAUCCCGCUCCUCGCACCGUUCGCCACCGCCACCCAAAACUUCGGAAAAAGCUUUGGCACGAGCUCAACUGCUCCUGGAUUACCCUCCAACGGCGGACAAGAUCGACGAAUGGAGGGCCACCAUUCAGAGUCUCAUCGGCUUCGCCAACGGCGACACUCCACGGCAGCCGACGACAUCGCAGCCGCGACAAGAUUGCCGGGCACGAGCCGAUGGCGACAAAACCGGUGGGGGUGCAACCACCAUGCACUCUCCGCCCCGAAGGCCAAGAUCGCCGACUCGCCGGGUCAACCUCGACACUGAAUCCACCGCGUCGUCAGAUCCACGAGCUCGUCGCGAUCAGCGCCAAGUUCUUCACGAACGACAGCAAGAAGACGCUCGUACUCGCAUCGAGCGUCGAAGAGAAGCGCGGCGUCAAUCGGACCAGCGCGCUGGGCCCACUGUCGACAUGCAUGCGCCAGGGGAACCAGGCGACUUUCCGUACGCGGUAGGUUGCCCUGCGUUCACUCGUGAGUUGCGGCAAGUCUAGUGGCCCAGCACGAAGAAUUUCAAGCCAGACGUACCAGAGAAGUACGACGGCAAGUUGCAUCUGUCGGAGUUCCUCAACAUCUACACCAUCGCGGUGCAAGCUGCCGGGGGGCGAGACGACAAGAUCCUUGCCAACUACUUCCCGCUGGUGCUCAAGCCCAAUGUCAGGUCCUGGCUCAUGCACUUGCCGGACAACUCCAUAUCCUCCUGGGCAGAUCUAUGCCAUCAGUUUGUCGGCGCCUUUACAGGUGGCCACAAGCCUCAUGGCCAAGAGAGCGACCUUCAUCUGCUCGCCCAGAAGGAAGGAGAGCCCCUGUGCAAGUACAUUCAGAGAUUCAGCCAAGUGCAGCGCAACAUCCCAGAUGUCCACCCUGCCGCGGUCAUCAGCGCGUUCCAUCAGAACGUGCGAAACCGCAGGAUGCGGGAGGAGAUGGCGAUGUGCAAGAUCAGAGACGUCAGUGAGCUAUAUGCCCUGGCCGACAAGUGUGCACGUGCUGAGGAAGGGAGGAAACUCCCCGGAGAGAAUGCAGGAGCAGGAGGAUCUGACAGCGAUGAUGCUGCCCCGGCAAGGAAAAACCGGCGGUGGAACAACAGGAAAAAGAAAGGCAAAGAUGUGCUAGCCGUUGAGCAGUCCGGCAACGGAGGUGGCGCCAAGGAAGCCGAAGCUGUGGCGGCCGCCGACAAGCAGGACGGCACCGGCAAGCAGUACUGCAAGAUCCACCGCACCAAGGGCCACGAUCUCCAGAGCUGCAAGAAGGUCGAGCAGCUUGUCGAGCAGCAAAAGGCUGAGUACGAGCGACGCGACAAGGAGAAGGCCCAAGAAGGUACUGGAGGAUCCGGCAAGAAGCGUCCCGGGCGAGGAGGACGCCGCGGCAAGGCCAAGCAGCGGCAAGGAGACAGGCCUCCCCGCGGCCGCGACAAGGAUGAAGAUGAAGACGACGAUGAAGAUAUGGAUGAUGACGAGGCCGAUGAGUAGGAGUUUCAGAAAGCCACAGAGGUCCUGUGCAUUGACGGCGGUGCUUCUCUGCAUACUUCGCACCGCCAGCUCAAGCAGUGGGUGCGGGAAGUCAAUGCGGCAGAACCACCUGUCGAGUCACGCAAGCCUCUGAAAUGGUCCAGCACACCUAUCAUCUUCGAUAUUGAGGACCACCCUGAUCGCAUAACUGCGGUCGGGUGCUUGCCGAUGUUGGUCUCACCAACUAUCCGCAACCUCAAGGUCACUAAGAUGCUAGUUGACGGCGGGGCCGGCUUGAACCUGAUCUCCUCCGCGGUACUCCAGAAACUUCAGAUCCCUGACAGCGAGCUCGAAGAGACCGGCACAUUCCAAGGAAUCAACCCGGGAAGGAGCAAGCCGAAGGGAAAGAUCACGUUGCCAGUGACAUUUGGCAGCGAGUUGAACUUCAGGACUGAGAGGGUCACUUUUGACGUUGCUGACUUCCCAUUGCCUUACAAUGGGAUACUCGGCCGUCCAGCGCUCGCCAAAUUCAUGGCAGCCUCUCACUAUGCGUACAACGUACUGAAGAUGCCAGGCCCGAUAAGUGUCAUCUCUGUCCCUGGCGACAAGAAGGAUGCUCUUAUCUGCACCGACAAGAUCUACCGGGACGCAGCAGCCGCAGCAGAACGCAAGUCACUUGCCGCUGAAGCUCCCGAGGGGAAGAAGAAGACCAAGUCCGGCAAGAGUUCUGAUGCCCACUCCGGCAAGCGCACCUCUUCGGAGUGCUGCGCUACCGUCGAGGACGCACCAUCGAGCUCCACCAGCAAGUGUAAGAAAGCAAUGGCAGCUCCACCAGAGACCAAGAAGGUGCCCGCCAAGGAGGACGGCACUGGUGGUACCUUCACCAUCAGUGCCACUCUCGACCCUAAAUAGGAAAGCGCGCUCAUUGUUUUCCUGUGGGCGAAUGUCGACGUGUUUGCGUGGCAACCGUCUGACAUCCCCGGUGUUCCCAGGAAAGUAAUCGAGCACCACCUUGCCGUCUGUCCUCAUGCGCGGCCCGUAAAGCAGAAGGUCAGGAAACAAGCAGUGGAGCGCCAAGAAUUCAUCGCAGAAGAAAUCAAGAAAUUGGAAGCAACAGGCCUUGUCAGAGGAGUGCUCCAUCCUACGUGGUUGGCCAAUCCUGUAGUCGUGCGCAAGGCGAACGGGAAAUGGAGGCUUUGUAUCGACUUUACCGAUGUUAAUAAAGCUUGUCCCAAAGACCCAUUUCCCUUGCCGCGCAUUGACCAGAUUGUUGACUCCACGGCCGGAUGUGACUUGCUUUCAUUUCUUGACGCAUACUCAGGAUACCAUCAGAUCUUCAUGGCAGAAGAGGAUGAGGAGAAGACCGCAUUCAUCACUCCAUGUGGCACGUACUGUUUCAUACGAAUGCCUUUCGGAUUAAAGAAUGCUGGUUCAACAUUUGCAAGGGUAGUACAUGACGCUUUUGAGCCACAAAUGCACAGAAAUGUGGAAUCCUACAUGGAUGACAUAGUGGUCAAGAGCAAGGACAAGGCAACUCUGAUUCAAGAUUUAGAUGAAACCUUUGCAAAUCUGUGCAAGAUCAAUCUCAAGCUUAACCCUGAGAAGUGCGUGUUUGGAGUCCCCUCCGGCAAGCUUCUCGGGUUCUUUGUGUCUCAACGGGGAAUUGAAGCCAAUCCCGACAAGAUCAAGGCCAUUGAGCAGAUUGAAGCACCAAAGCGCGUCAAGGAUGUACGAAGGCUUGCUAGUUGCGUGGCUGCUCUUAGCAGGUUUAUCUCUAAGUCUGCUGAGCGCGCCCUGCCGUUUUUCAAAAUAUUGAAAAAGGCAGGUCCAAUGAAAUGGACUCCAGAAGCGGAGGUUGCGCUGCAGGACUUGAAGAGAUACCUGUCCUCCACUCCAACACUUGUCGCACCUAAGCCACAAGAGAAGUUGCUGCUGUAUUUAGCGGCAACCAAUCAAGUGGUUAGUGUUGCGUUAGUAGUGGAGAGGGAGGCGGAUGAUGAGCCAGCAACCAUGGCAGGUGCAUCCAGCGACAAGCAGGGGGCUUCACCGGCAAGCUCUGGUCCCGACAAGGAUGGAUCUGCGCAGGCACAUGAGGAGGUGCGGAAGAAAAUGGUGCAGCGCCCAGUUUACUUUGUCAGUUCCCUUCUGCAGGGGGCUAGGUCAAGGUAUUCUGGUGUGCAGAAAUUGCUUUUUGGUCUUCUCAUGGCCUCAAGAAAGCUGCGCCAUUACUUCCAAGCACAUGAGAUCACAGUUGUCACUCGUUUUCCGCUAAAGAGGAUACUACAGAAUCCAGAAGCAACAGGCAGGAUUGUCGAGUGGGCACUGGAACUGUCAAGCUUUGGCCUCAAGUUUGAGAGCACUUCAACUAUCCAGAGCCGGGCAUUGGCAGAAUUCAUAGUAGAAUGGACGCCAACACCAGAUGAAGAAAUUCCAGAAACGAGCAUCCCUGUCAAGGAGGCAAGCAAAGAGUGGUUGAUGUACUUCGAUGGUGCCUUCUCGCUGCAAGGCGCCGGUGCGGGCGUGCUACUUGUCGCACCCACCGGGGAGCACCUCAAGUACGUAGUCCAGAUGCACUUUCCCAAGGAGCAAGCGACAAAUAAUACCGCAGAGUAUGAAGGUUUGCUUGCUGGUCUCAGGAUCGCGGCAGACCUUGGGAUCAAGAAGCUCAUUGUUAGGGGUGACUCGCAGCUUGUCGUCCGCCAAGUGAACAAGAAUUAUCAGAGUCCGUUGAUGGAAGCUUACGUUGAUGAGGUGAGAAAGUUACAAGAGCACUUUGACGGCCUACAGAUGGAACAUGUCCCAAGAGCUCAGAACGACAUUGCAGAUGGCCUGUCGAAGUGCGCCGCACUUAAGUUACCUAUGGAACCAGGAAUCUUUGUGCUCAAACUGACUCAACCGUCCGUAACAACAUCAACUGGACAGAGCAAGAAGAGGAAGUUGAUUUCUGGUGACUAUUUUCCGGCAGAGCUCCCCGAAGCCGCCGCCAAGAAGGUCCCCAAGAUCAACACCAAGGGUGCUGAGGAGCAGUCUGCUCCGACAAGCCCUAGGGUUUGUUCCGUUGAAGCAGACGCUCCCGACAAGUUUUGCUCCGGCAAGCUUGUCGGGGAACAUCAAGCUCCGGCUGAGCCGCAGAUUCUCGCCGUAGAAGCGGAUGUUCCCGCAGCAGCAUAUGUGCCCUUAGUCUUUGUUGUCGAGCCGCAAGCUCCAGCAUGGGCACAACAGAUUGUCCUUUUCCUUCAGACAGGAGAACUUCCCGAAGAGCAAGAGGAAGCGGAAAGAGUAGCCCGGCAGUCAAGUAUGUACCAGUUUGUCGACAACACACUGUACAGAAGAAGACUCAACGGCGUGAAAUUGAAGUGUAUUCACCGGGAAGAUGGACAAAAGCUGUUGGCAGAGAUACAUGGAGGCAUAUGUGGCCACCACAUUGGCGCAAGAGCACUUGCCGGCAAAGCGUUCCGGCAAGGUUUCUUUUGGCCGACAGCCCUCCAGGAUGCAACUGCACAAGUAACCAAGUGUGAAGCGUGCCAGUUCCAUUCCAAGCAGAUACACCAGCCAGCUCAAGCUCUCCAGACGAUCCCUUUAUCCUGGCCAUUUUCGGUCUGGGGGCUCGACAUCCUCGGCCCUUUUUCCCGAGCUGUCGGGGGCUUUGAGUACUUGUACGUUGCAAUCGACAAGUUCACAAAGUGGCCGGAAGUGGAAGCAGUGAGGAAGGUGACAGCACAGUCAGCGGUCAAGUUCUUCAGGUCGAUUGUUUGUCGCUUCGGGAUCCCUAACAGGAUCAUCACCGACAACGGCACGCAAUUCACGAGCCGCACCUUCAUGCAGUACGUCCAAGAUCUUGGCGCCAAGGUCUGCUUCGCUUCCGUUGCUCAUCCGAGAAGCAACGGUCAAGCGGAGAGGGCAAAUGCUGAAGUGCUGCGUGGGCUCAAGACCAGAACUUUCGAUAGGUUGCGCAGGUGCGGAAAGAACUGGAUUGAGGAGCUGCCGGUGGUUCUUUGGUCGAUCAGGACGCCGCCAAAUCGAGCCACUGCCCAGAUACCUUUCGCUCUAGUCUAUGGAGCAGAGACAGUUCUCCCCACGGAACUCGUAUAUGGGUCGCCUCGAGUGCUCGCUUAUGAUGGGCUUGAGCAAGAGCAGCUGCGACAAGAUGACGCGCUGCUCCUUGAGGAGGACCGUCUUCAGGCUGCGGUACGAGCUGCUCGCUACCAGCAAGCUUUGCACCGCUACCAUAGCCGCAAAGUUAAUGCCAGGAGUCUCGAGGAAGGCGACCUUGUUCUUCGGCGCGUUCAGUCCGCCAAGAAUUCCAACAAGUUGAUGCCGAAGUGGGAAGGCCCUUACCGGGUGAAACGAGUCACUAGGUCUGGCGCUGUCCGCCUUGAGACCGAAGAUGGCUUUCCGGUGAGCAAGUCCUGGAACAUUGAGCAUCUUCGUAAGUUUUACCCGUACGGCGCGGUUGCCGGAACCCGUUCCGGCAACCACCUUUUGUACAAGUCUUGCCGCUGUUGCAUGUAAUCCUUUGUACAAAGCCGGGCGCAGACCCCGUGCAUAAAUAAAGCUCAUGUGCUCCGCAUAUCUUGUCAAUUUCAUGCUUUCUAUUUUUUGCAUGUGUUAUCUGACACUUUGUGCAGCACCUACCCCCGGUAAGCAAUAACGAGCCGUAAGGCUCCAUAUCUUUAUUUUCUCUUCUUUCUCUUUCUCAAAGAAAGGAAGGUUCCCUCACCCACAAGUUUACCGGGGGGGAAGGAGGAGAUAAUGGUGUGGACCAGGCGUCCUUCAAGAAAGUUUUGCCUUGCCGGGACGCAAACGACAGAAAAGCUAAGUUGCCAAAGUUUGAGCAAUCAGUUUUAAAAAUUUUAAGUUAUCUUCCUCGAACGACCGUGCUUUGUAUGGAAAACCUGUGCGCGGAGGAACCAACUCGUAGCUAGUUGCGCCCUUACUUUGUUUCGAGUCCGCUCAACAACUUAAGUGAGCUGCGACUAGUUGCGACAAGGUUUCUUGUCGGUGGCGGCACCGCCAGCAGGCUGCUGACGUUCCGCACUCAGCGCUCGCGGCAAAGGCGCCUACACCGGCAAGUUCCCUAAAAGCGUAGGGUAAAAACAUACAAAGGAAGGAAUCAAGUAAAGGAAAUAACAUAGCAAUCGAUACCCAGAAUAAAAGUUAUAUUACAAGAGAGCUUGUCGCAGCUCUAAUGGAUUGUUCUCAUAACAUGACCAGCAGCGACAAGAAAAGAAGAAAACGGGCGGCCUAAUCUACGCGAUCGCCAUCAACCCUCUUGACCUCGUUCACCUUGUCCACAAUGGGUGCGACAAGGGCCUUCAGCACUUCCAGAUCAGCAUCCGCCAGCAGCUUCUUGAGGACAUUGGUGAGGUUGAGGCCCGGGUUGCGAAAGGCCACCUUCACCAGCACCUUUUGAAGAACUCUCGCGUAGAUCACGCGCGACUCGUCGGCUAGCUGCUUUGGGAUCCUUUCCUGGAGUCUCUGGAGGGCCGUCGCCACGCCUUUGAAGAACAAGGUGAGCUUGGCGCUGGGCUGGAGGUUCUCGUCGGAGGAAUAACCGAAAUCCUCCAUCCCUAGCUGCGCUAGCUCCUUGUCGAUGUCUGCGGCAACAUCCACGAUACCCUCCGUCCAGUGCUCCACAUUCUCCCUGAAGGUGUUCUGGGUGGCGGCAGCACUCGCCAGCAGCUCCUCGUUGGCCUUGAUCUCCUUCUUCAAGGCCACCUCCUGCUCCCUGGUGCCGUCCAGCGUCUUGGUCAAAGUAGCCAGCUUCAGCUCAAGAUCUGCGUUGGAGUCCUUGGCGGCGCUCAGCUCUUUUCCCUUCUCGACGAGACGAUCCUGCAGCUCACCGUGGGCAUGGGCGUCCUUCUCGCACUCACGCUUGAGCGCGACAAGCUCUUCAUCCCUCGCCUUGAGAUCAGCCUCUAGUUGCGCCACCUUCGUCUCCAGCUCCUUCUUGGCGGCCUCAGCAGCUGCAGCAGCAUCCUUUGCCUCCUUGAGAGCCCCGCCAAAUGUCUGCUCUCGCGUGGCAAGCUCCUCCUCAUGGCUGUCAAGAUUGACCUUCCGCUGCGCCAACUCGCCUUCCCGCGCAAACAGCUCCUCGGCGGCAAGCCGCUGUUGCUCUUCAGCUUCAGCCUUCUCGAGGAGGAAGGCUUUCCGCGCCUCGACGAAUUGCAUCCGCUUCUCUGCAAUGGACUGGAGGGCUUCCUGAUUGCGACUCCGGAGCUCCUCCGCAUGCUUCUCAAUAUCCACUCCCGCCUGCGCGACAAGCGCUUCCCGGGAUUCCACCUUGGCUUGUCGGGCGCAGUAGAGUGACACCAGCUUCCGCAGCAGCUGCUCCUCCUCGGACUCGCCGCUGCUGCUGCUCGGCGCGUCAACCAGCGUCAGCCCAGCGGAGGCGAGCACCUCUCCAUCAAAAGUUUCUCCUUCGACCGGCGCCCUGGAGCUUGACGCCCAGGGGAGCUUGAUGAAGACGCCAUCGCCGGCCUUGAGAUAGGCGCUGGGCUGGGGCUCUUCGGAGCCUAAUGCUGCGGAAGCGGCGGAGGGAUCGGCGGUCGGCGUAGCGCCUUGCGCUCCUGCGGCCUCGGGGCCGUCAGUGCGAUCGCCAGACCCCUCGCCAGCUCCUUCGGCGGCAGCUUUGGCGGCCUCCUCGCCGGCAGGAUCAUGGCGCCGGCUUCCUCCUUGGUGGCAGCGGCGUCAUUGGUGUUGCCGCGCGCGCUCUCCUCGCCGGUGGCCUCGGUCUCCAUCGGCUCCGUGGAAGGUGGAUCUGGCGACCGGAAAAGAGAGAAAAAGUCAAGCAAAUAUCCAAAAAGAAGAUCAGAAGAAGAACCCAAGGGAAGUUUUCAAGCAAGAAGGGUUACCUGUGCUGGGAUCUGCAGUCAUGGGCUCCACCACCGGGGGGUCGCUGGUGCUGUCUCUUGCCGGAGAACCAUCCCUUGCUAGAGAAUCGUCCCUUGCCGGAGACUUCUCCCUUGCCGGAGAACGCUCCUUUGUCGGGGAAUCCUCCCUUGGCGGCGUAGUCGAAGCAGAUAGCAUCUCGGGGGCGGCUUCCGGGUGCUCCUGGUGAGGCUGCUCUGCUCCUACACAAACCAACAGUUAGAUAUCAGCAAGAGAAGAACACCCAUGCGCGCCUAACAGCGAGAAGUAAACCAUAUACUUACGCUGGGGGCUGCGCUGGGGGCUGCUUUGGGGAAUGAUUGCCGGGUCCGGCAAGGUGGUCUCGGGCGCACCCCCUGCUGUCGCGGUGGGCUCGUCCUUGAUGACAAUCACCGGAGCCUUGGCUCUCUGCGCCACUCUCUGGGCCAGGGUCCUGAAAAGGAAUGAGUUCAGAGUAAAGCAAAUCAGAUACAAGACAAAAACAACAAGAAUUGAAGAACUACAAAUACAGCAAAGAAUCUUACUCUUCUUCUUCCUCGUCGGAGUUGAGUGCGGAGAGGUCGAAGUCCGGCCCACCUCCGGCGCGACGAGGCGGAGGAGUGGGUUCCCUUGAACGCUUGGCGGGGGCAGCGGCAGGAUCAGAAGCGGCGGUCCGGGAGGACCCCGCUCCAGUUGCCGUAGCGGCAUGAGGCGCUCCCGCGGCAACAGUGCUUGUCGCGGUGGAGCGUGUCCCGCGGCGCGACGGCUGUUGACUCGUCCGCCGCCCUGCUACGUCCCCGGCCUUGCGGAGGCGCCUUCUUGGUGGAGCUGGGGGCUGCGCUGGGGGCUCUGCUUGCGGCAAGCUGCUUGAAGAUGGCGGGCCGCUCGCACCCUCGGCGGGCUCGCUCGACUCAGCUUCAGGCUCGGCAAGCUCUCCCUCGCCGGCAAGCUCAUCUCGAUCGGCAAGGCUUGCCGCCUCUGCUGCCUCUGCCUCCUCAAUGGUGAAUCCAAACUCACCCGUGGCAGCGGCUGCCGCCGCCUCUUCCGCCCUAGUGGCGAUGCGCCGCAUCUCCGCAUCGGUGGUGUCGCGGGUGAGGCUCUUCUGUUCAUCGGAGCGGACCGCCACCUCCACCAGGUCGUCGAAGAACUCCUGCACAACAUCGUUUGCAGGCUCUUGCCAGGUUGGAACAAUUCCAUGCGAAUCACACAAAGGCAUCAUUGCACGGAUGCGAUCGAGCGAGGAAUUGUUGCACAGCGGGACGACGCCCUUCGGCAGCCUGAACCAUUCGGGAUGUUGAGGGUCGUGCUUGAACAGCUCCUUGAGCAUGGCGUCCAGUUCCAGGACGGUGAAGUUGAAGUUGAGGCCCGGGCGCAGCCUCAUGAUGUCUGCCGGACCCCCGAACUCCCAGGCGGGUCUCCUCCUUCCCUACAGGGGGGCGAUGCAGCGGCGAAGAAAAUCUGCGCCAACGGCGCCUACAGUGAGCCCGGCAAGCCUGAAGCGCAGGAUCCGGGUGACGGCGAUCUUUAGCCUAUCGUCUUCCGGCGCCAAGUUGCUCCAAUCGUUGCCGCGCACUGCUGGGGCUUGGCGCUGGGUAGUAAACGGCUGCGGGUUCUCCUCGACGAUCCAGCACCAGUCUACUCUCCACUCCUCCCAUUUGCUACGGAGCUCCCCCUCCAGAUAGGCCUCCUUCUUGCCGGCUCUCGAGAUCCAGGCGAUUCCGUCGGAUAGGGGCUCCCCUCUCUCAACCCGGGGCAUAAAGAAGUGGCCGAAAAGAGCUACGUUUGGGUGGACUCCGACAAAGUUUUCGCAGAGAUGCGCGAAAACUGCCAUGGUCAGAACAGCAUUGGGGGUGAAGUCAAGGAGAUGGAACCCGUAGGUGUUCAUAAUAUCGCAGAAGAAUUCAGAGAAGGGCGGGCAGAGCCCGCAGUAGAAGAACAACGCGAAGAAGGGAUAUCCGUUCGGAGCCCGUUCGGAAGCGGCGGCGGAGAGUACCUUCGUGCGCGGAUGCGCUCGCGUCUUCGUCGACCAGAAGAGGUUGUACCACUCCCUCAGCUCCUUCGCGGCGAGCUCGGGGAGGAAGAUUGCCCGCUCCUUUCGCAGCGCCUCGAGCCGCAGCGCCUCGGCCGACUUCACGGCCUUCCCGGUUUUCGGAGCCAUGGCGGAGGUGGUGGGGGAGAUCAACGGCGUUGGUGGCGCCGGUGGCGAUGGGGGGCGGACCGCUGCUCUCUUUCGGCUUUGGAAGAAAGGGGGGAGCGGCGGAGAUUUUUGAGAUUGGGACAGCAACUGGCGAGAUGGGGGAACUGCCCCUGUUUCCUCUGCUUAUAAAGAGGGAGGGGGCGGACGUUCCGCUUUUCCGAAUAAAGAACCACCCACGAUCUCUCCCACGACGCCGCAUUCAACGCGUGCUGUUACGGGAGGGUGCGGUGGAUACGGAGUAAGAUACGGCGUAACCCAGGCCGCGCGUGCCCGUGCCUUGUUUUGGGCCUGGCCCAACAGCGCUCGGCACCGUGUGUGGCCCAGGCCCGGGGGCUCCUGUCGGUGUACUAGAGUAGGGGUACCCUAGUAUCCCGAACUUGUGCACGGGCAGUCGCAGCGCCCCGCGGCAAGGCUUGCCGGGUGACCGCCAAGGUCCUCCGUGGUUCCUUUGGAGCCAUUCAAGAACAAAGUGUUCAAGUCAAGGAGACAAGGCCCCGGCCGAGGAGCUUGCCGGGAAGGCCAACCAAGGCAUCUCAAGGAACUUGCCGCGACGCUCCUCGCGUCCCGGCAAGGCCCGGUGAGCGACAAGCUUCCGGGCGCGGCAAGACAACAACCGCGGCAAGGCGCUUGCCGCGGCAAGCUACCAUCCUGUACCCGCGCUCUAGCGCAUCCACCAACGUGUCGCCCUGGGGCCUUUCUGUUGGAAAUAUGCCCUAGAGGCAAUAAUAAAAGUAUUAUUAUAUUUCCUUGUUCAUGAUAAUUGUCUUUUUAUUCAUGCUAUAACUGUAUUAUCCGAAAAUCGUAAUACACGUGUGAAUACAUAGACCACAAUAUGUCCCUAGUGAGCCUCUAGUUGACUAGCUCGUUGUGAUCAAAAGAUAGUCAUGGUUUCCUGGCUAUGGACAUUGGAUGUCGUUGAUAACGGGAUCACAUCAUUAGGAGAAUGAUGUGAUGGACAAGACCCAAUCCUAAGCAUAGCACAAAGAUCGUGUAGUUCGUUUGCUAGAGCUUUUCCAAUGUCAAGUAUCUCUUCCUUAGACCAUGAGAUCGUGUAACUCCCGGAUACUGUAGGAGUGCUUUGGGUGUAUCAAACAUCACAACGUAACUGCGUGACUAUAAAGGUGCACUACAGGUAUCUCCGAAAGUGUCUGUUGGGUUGACACGGAUCGAGACUGGGAUUUGUCACUCCGUGUAAACGGAGAGGUAUCUCUGGGCCCACUCGGUAGGACAUCAUCAUAAUGUGCACAAUGUGACCAAGGGGUUGAUCACGGGAUGAUGUGUUGCGGAACGAGUAAAGAGACUUGCCGGUAACGAGAUUGAACAAGGUAUCGGUAUACCGACGAUCGAAUCUCGGGCAAGUACAAUACCGUUAGACAAAGGGAAUUGUAUACGGGAUCGACUGAGUCCUUGACAUCGUGGUUCAUCCGAUGAGAUCAUCGUGGAACAUGUGGGAUCCAACAUGGGUAUCCAGAUCCCGCUGUUGGUUAUUGACCGGAGAACGUCUCGGUCAUGUCUACAUGUCUCCCGAACCCGUAGGGUCUACACACUUAAGAUUCGAUGAUGCUAGGGUUAUAAAGGAAGUUUGUAUGUGGUUACCGAAUGUUGUUCGGAGUCCCGGAUGAGAUCCUAGACGUCACGAGGAGUUUCGGAAUGGUCCGGAGGUAAAGAUUUAUAUAUUGGAAGUCCUGUUUUGGUCACCGGAAAAGUUUCGGGUUUUUCCGGUAACGUACCGGGACCACCGGGAGGGUCCCGGGGGUCCACCAAGUGGGGCCACCAACCCUAGAGGGUUGCAUGGGCUAUGUGUGGGAGGGGACCAGCCCCAGGUCGGCUGGUGCGCCCCCCCACAGGGCCCAAGACGCAGGAAGUGGGGAAAGGGGGCAAACCCUAGGGCAGAUGGGCCCUAAGGCCCACCCUGGGUGCGCCUCCCCCUCUCCCCUUCUGGCCGCCACCCAGAUGGGAUCUGGGGGCUGCCGCCACCCCUGGGGAGGGAACCCUAGAGGGGGCGCAGCCCCCUCCCCUCCCCCUAUAAAUACUUGAGGUCUGGGGCUGCCCAAUACACGAGAAUCUCUCCCUCUUGGUGCAGCCCUACCUCUCUUACUCCUCCUCUCCCGUGGUGCUUGGCGAAGCCCUGCAGGAUAGCCACGCUCCUCCAUCACUACCACGCCGUUGUGCUGCUGCUGGACGGAGUCUUCCUCAACCUCUCCCUCUCUCCUUGCUGGAUCAAGGCAUGGGAGACGUCACCGGGCUGUACGUGUGUUGAACGCGGAGGUACCGUCCGUUCGGCACUAGGAUCUCCGGUGAUUUGGAUCACGACGAGUAUGACUCCUUCAACCCCGUUCUCUUGAACGCUUCCGCUUAGCGAUCUACAAGGGUAUGUAGAUGCACUCUCCUUCCCCUCGUUGCUGGUUUCUCCAUAGAUAGAUCUUGGUGACACGUAGGAAAAUUUUGAAUUUCUGCUACGUUCCCCAACAGUGGCAUCAUGAGCUAGGUCUAUUGCGUAGAUUCUUUGCACGAGUAGAACACAAAGUAGUUGUGGGCGUUGAUUUUGUUCAAUAUGCUUACCGUUACUAGUCCAAUCUUGUUUCGACGGUAUUGUGGGAUGAAGCGGCCCGGACCGACCUUACACGUACUCUUACGUGAGACAGGUUCCACCGACUGACAUGCACUUGGUGCAUAAGGUGGCUAGCGGGUGCCAGUCUCUCCCACUUUAGUCGGAACGGAUUCGAUGAAAAGGGUCCUUAUGAAGGGUAAAUAGCAAUUAGCAUAUCACGUUGUGGUUUUGCGUAGGUAAGAAACGUUCUUGCUAGAAACCCAUAGCAGCCACGUAAAACAUGCAACAACAAUUAGAGGACGUCUAAAUUGUUUUUGUAGGGUAUGCUAUGUGAUGUGAUAUGGCCAAGAAGAAUGUGAUGAAUGAUAUGUGAUGUAUGAGAUUGAUCAUAUUCUUGUAAUAGGAAUCACGACUUGCAUGUCGAUGAGUAUGACAACCGGCAGGAGCCAUAGGAGUUGUCUUAAUUUAUUGUAUGACCUGCGUGUCAUUGAACAACGCCAUGUAAUUACUUUACUUUAUUGCUAACCGGUAGCCAUAGUAGUAGAAGUAAUAAGUUGGCGAGACAACUUCAUGGAGACACGAUGAUGGAGAUCAUGAUGAUGGAGAUCAUGGUGUCAUGCCGGUGACGAUGAUGAUCAUGGAGCCCCGAAGAUGGAGAUCAAAAGGAGCAAAAUGAUAUUGGCCAUAUCAUGUCACUAUUUGAUUGCAUGUGAUGUUUAUCAUGUUUAUGCAUCUUGUUUACUUAGAACGACGGUAGUAAAAAGAUGAUCCCUUACAAAAUUUCAUGAAGUGUUCUCCCCUAACUGUGCACCGUUGCUAAAGUUCAUCGCUUCUAAGCACCACGUGAUGAUCGGGUGUGAUGGAUUCUUAUUUUCACAUACAACGGGUGUAAGACAGAUUUACACACGCGAAACACUUAGGGUUAACUUGACGAGCCUAGCAUGUACAGACAUGGCCUCGGAACACAGAGACCGAAAGGUCAAGCAUGAGUCGUAUAGUAGAUACGAUCAACAUGAAGAUGUUCACCGAUGAUGACUAGUCCGUCUCACGUGAUGAUCGGACACGGCCUAGUUGACUCGGAUCAUGUAAUCACUUAGAUGACCAGAGGGAUGUCUAUCUCAGUGGGAGUUCAUAAGAUGAACUUAAUUAUCCUGAACAUAGUCAAAAGAUCUUUGCAAAUUAUGUCGUAAGCGCACGCUUUAGUUCCACUGUUUAGAUAUGUUCCUAGAGAAAAUAUAGUUGAAAGUUGACAGUAGCGAUUAUGCGGAUAGUAGAAAGCUUAUGUCCUUAAUGCACCGCUCAGUGUGCUGAACCCCAAACAUCGUUUGUGGAUGUGGCGAACAUCGGACAUACAUGUUUUGAUAACUACGUGAUAGUUCAGUUAAACGGUUUAGAGUUGAGGCACCAAAGACGUUUUCGAAACGUCGCGGAACAUAUGAGAUGUUUCGAGGGCUGAAAUUGAGAUUUCGGGCUCAUGCCCACGUCAAGAGGUAUGAGACCUCCGACGAUUUUCUUAGCCUACAAACUAAGGGAGAAAAGCUCAAUCGUUGAGCUUGUGCUCAGAUUGUCUGAGUGCAACAAUCACUUGAAUCGAGUGGGAGUUGAUCUUCCAGAUGAGAUAGUGAUGUUUCUCCAAAGUCAUUACCACCAAGCUGCUAGAGCUUCAUGGUGAGCUAUAACAUAUCAGGGAUAGAUAUGAUGAUCCUUGAGGUAUUCGCGAUGUUUGACACCGCGAAAGUAGAAAUCAAGAAGGAGCAUCAAUUGUUGAUGGUUGGUGAAACCACUAGUUUCAAGAAGGGCAAGGGCAAGAAGGGAUACUUCAUGAAAUGGCAAAUCAGCUGCUGCUCUAGUGAAGAAACCCAAGGUUGAACCCAAACCCAAGACUAAGUGCUUCUGUAAUAAGGGGAACAACCACUGGAGCAAGAUUACCCUAGAUACUUGGUAGAUGAGAAGGCUGGCAAGGUCGAUAGAAGUAUAUUGGAUAUACAUUAUGUUAAUGUGUACUUUACUAGUACUCCUAGUAGCACCAGGGUAUUAGAUACCGGUUCGGUUGCUAAGUGUUAGUAACUUGAAAUAAAAGCUACGAAAUAAACGGAGACUAGCUAAAGGUGAGCUGACGAUAUAUGUUGGAAGUGUUUCCAAGGUUGAUGUGAUCAAGCAUCGCAUGCUCCCUCUACCAUCGAGAUUUGGUGUUUGCGUUGAGCAUAGACAUGAUUGUAUUAUGUCUAUCGCAAUACGGUUAUUCAUUUAAGGAGAAUAAUGGUUACUCUAUUUAUUUGAAUAAUACCUUCAAUGGUCUUGCACCUAAAGGAAUGGUUUAUUGAAUCUCGAUCGUAGUGAUACACAUUUUCAUGCCAAAAGAUAAAAGAUAGUAAUGAUAGUACCACUUACUUGUGGCACUGCCAUGCAAGUCAUAUUGGUGUAAAACGCAUGAAGAAGCUCCAUGUUGAUGGAUCUUUGGACUCACUCGUUUUUGAAAAGUUUGAGACAUGCAAACCACGUCUAUUGGUGUAUACGCAUCAAGAAACUCCAUGCAGAUGGAUCGUUUGGACUCACUUGAUUUUGAAUCACUUGAGAUAUGCAAAUCAUACCACAUGGGCAAGAUGACUGAGAAGCCUCGUUUUUAGUAAGAUGGAACAAGAUAGCAACUUGUCAGAAGUAACACAUUUUGAUGUGUGCAGUCCAAUGAGUGCUGAGGCAUGCAGUGAAUAUCGUUAUGUUCUUACUUCACAGAUGAUUCGAGUAGAUGUUGAGUAUAUUUACUUGAUGAAACACAAGUCUGAAUUAUUGAAUGGUUCAAGUAAUUUCAGAGUGAAGUUGAAGAUCAUCAUGACAAGAGGAUGAAAUGUCUAUGAUAUGAUCAUAGAGAUGAAUAUCUGAGUUACAAGCUUUGGCACGCAAUUAAGACAUUGUGGAAAUUGUUUCACAAUUAAUACUGCCUGGAACACCAUAGUUUGAUGGUGUGUCCGAACAUCAUAGUUGCACCCUAUUGGAUAUGGUGCGUACCAUGAUGUCUCUUAUCGAAUUACCACUAUCGUUCAUGGGUUAGGCAUUAGAGACAACCAGACUCACUUUAAUAGGGCACCGCGUAAUUCCGUUGAGAUGACACCCUAUGAACUAUGGUUUAGAGAAACCUAAGCUGUCAUUUCUUAAAGGUUUGGGGCUACGAAGCUUAUGUGAAAAAGUUUCAAGUUGAUAAGCUCGAACCCAAAGCGGAUAAAAUGCAUCUUCAUAGGACACCCAAAACAGUUGGGUAUACCUCCUAAUUCAGAUCCGAAAGCAAUAGGGAUUGUUUCUUGAAUCGGGUCCUUUCUCGAGGAAAUGUUUGUCUCGAAAAGUUGAGUGGGAGGAUGGUGGAGACUUGAUAUGGUUAUUGAACCGUCACUACAACUAGUGUGUAGCAGGGCGCAGGAAGUUGUUCCUGUGGCACCUACACCAAUUGAAGUAGAAGCUUAUGAUAGUGAUCAUGAAACUUCGGAUCAAGUCACUACCGUACCUCGUAGGGUGAGAAGGAUGCGUACUACUUCAGAGUGGUACAGUAAUCCUGUCUUGAAGGUCAUGUUGCUAGACAACAAUGAACCUACGAGCUAUGGAGAAGUGAUGGUGGGCCCAAAUUCCGACAAAUGGUUAGAAGCCAUGAAAUCCGAGAUAGGAUCCAUGUAUCAGAACAAAGCAUGGACUUCGGUGGACUUGCCCAAUGAUCGGCAAGCCAUUGAGAUAAAUGGAUCUUUAAGAAGAAGACGGACGUGGACGGUGAUGUCACCGUCUAUGAAGCUCGACUUGUGGCGAAGAAUUUUUCACAAGUUCAAGGAGUUGACUACGAUGAGAUUUUCUCAUCCGUAGCGAUGCUUAAGUCCGCCGGAAUCAUGUUAGCGUUAGCUGCAUUUAUGAAAUCUGGCAGAUGGAUGUCAAAACGAGUUUCCUUACCAGUCUUCGUAAGGAAAGGUUGUAUGUGAUACAAUCCGAAAGUUUUUGUCGAUCCUAAGGAUGCUAAAAGGUAUGCUGGCUCCAGCGAUCCUUCUAAGGACUGGAGUAAGCAUCUUGGAGUUGGAAUGUACGUUUUGAUGAGAUGAUCAAAGAUUUUGGGUUUAUACAAAAGUUUAUGAGAAACUUGUAUUUCCAAAGAAGUGAGUGGGAGCACUAUAGAAUUUCUGAUGAGUAUAUGUUAUUGACAUACUGUUGAUCAGAAAUGAUGUAGAAUUUCUGGAAAGCAUAUAGGGUUAUUUGAAAAGUGUUUUUCAAUGGAAAACCUGAAUUAGGCUACUUGAAUAAUAAGCAUCAAGAUCUAUAAGAUAGAUCAAAAUGCUUAAUAGUACUUUCAAAUGAGCACGUACCUUGACAUGAUCUUGAAGGAGUUCAAGAUGGAUCAGUCAAAGAAGGAUUUCUUGCCUGAGAUGUAAGGUAUGAAGUUAAGACUUAAAAGCUCGACCACGGCAGAAUAGAGAGAAAGGACGAAGGUCGUCCCCUAUACUUCAGACAUAGGCUCUAUAGUAUGCUAUGCUGUGUACCGCACCGGAAGUGUGCCGUGCCAUGAGUCAGUCAAGGGGUACAAGAAUGAUCCAGGAAUGGAUCAUUGGACAGCGGUCAAAAUUGUCCUUGGAGUAAAUAAGGACAUGUUUCUCGAUUAUGGAGGUGAUAAAGAGUUCGGCGUAAAGGGUUACGUCGAUGCAAUCUUUAACACCUAUCCGAAUGACUCUGAGUAGCAAACCGGAUACGUAUAGUGGAGCAACCAUUUUGAAUAGCUCCAAGUGGAGCGUGGAAGCAGCGUUUACAAUAUGACCUAGAGAUUUGCGAAGUACAUACGGAUCUGAAUGUUGCAGACCCGUUGACUAAAACCUCUCUCACAAGCAAAACAUGAUCAAAACCCCAGAACUCAUUGAGUCUUAAUCACAUGAUGAUGUGAACUAGUUUAAUGACACUAGUAAACUCUUUGGAUGUUGGUCACAUGGUGAUGUGACUUGUGAAUGUUAAUCACAUGGCGAUGUGAACUAGAUUAUUGACUCUAGUGCAAGUGGGAGACUGUUGGAAAUAUGCCCUAGAGGCAAUAAUAAAAGUAUUAUUAUAUUUCCUUGUUCAUGAUAAUUGUCUUUUUAUUCAUGCUAUAACUGUAUUAUCCGGAAAUCAUAAUACACGUGUGAAUACAUAGACCACAAUAUGUCCCUAGUGAGCCUCUAGUUGACUAGCUCGUUGUGAUCAACAGAUAGUCAUGGUUUCCUGGCUAUGGACACUGGAUGUCGUUGAUAACGGGAUCACAUCAUUAGGAGAAUGAUGUGAUGGACAAGACCCAAUCCUAAGCAUAGCACAAAGAUUGUGUAGUUCGUUUGCUAGAGCUUUUCCAAUGUCAAGUAUCUCUUCCUUAGACCAUGAGACCGUGUAACUCCCGGAUACCGUAGGAGUGCUUUGGGUGUAUCAAACGUCACAACGUAACUGGGUGACUAUAAAGGUGCACUACAGGUAUCUCCGAAAGUGUCUGUUGGGUUGACACGGAUCGAGACUGGGAUUUGUCACUCCGUGUAAACGGAGAGGUAUCUCUGGGCCCACUCGGUAGGACAUCAUCAUAAUGUGCACAAUGUGACCAAGGGGUUGAUCACGGGAUGAUGUGUUGCGGAACGAGUAAAGAGACUUGCCAGUAACGAGAUUGAACAAGGUAUCGGUAUACCGACGAUCGAAUCUCGGGCAAGUACAAUACCGUUAGACAAAGGGAAUUGUAUACGGGAUCGACUGAGUCCUUGACAUCGUGGUUCAUCCGAUGAGAUCAUUGUGGAACAUGUGGGAGCCAACAUGGGUAUCCAGAUCCCGCUGUUGGUUAUUGACCGGAGAAUGUCUCGGUCAUGUCUACAUGUCUCCCGAACCCGUAGGGUCUACGCACUUAAGGUUCGAUGAUGCUAGGGUUAUAAAGGAAGUUUGUAUGUGGUUACUGAAUGUUGUUCGGAGUCCCGGAUGAGAUCUCGGACGUCACGAGGAGUUUCGGAAUGGUCCGAAGGUAAAGAUUUAUAUAUUGGAAGUCCUGUUUUGGUCACCGGAAAAGUUUCGGGUUUUUCCGGUAACGUACCGGGACCACCGGGAGGGUCCCGGGCGUCCACCAAGUGGGGCCACCAACCUUGAAGGGUUGCAUGGGCUAUGUGUGGGAGGGGACCAGCCCCAGGUGGGCUGGUGCGCCCCCCCACAGGGCCCAAGGCGCAGGAAGUGGGGAAAGGGGGCAAACCCUAGGGCAGAUGGGCCCUAAGGCCCACCCUGGGUGCGCCUCCCCCCUCUCCCCUUCUGGCCGCCACCCAGAUGGGAUCUGGGGGCUGCCGCCACCCCUGGGGAGGGAACCCUAGAGGGGGCGCAGCCCCCUCCCCUCCCCCUAUAAAUACUUGAGGUCUGGGGGCUGCCCAAUACACGAGAAUCUCUCCCUCUUGGUGCAGCCCUACCUCUCUUACUCCUCCUCUCCCGUGGUGCUUGGCGAAGCCCUGCAGGAUAGCCACGCUCCUCCAUCACCACCACGCCAUUGUGCUGCUGCUGGACGGAGUCUUCCUCAACCUCUCCCUCUCUCCUUGCUGGAUCAAGGCAUGGGAGACGUCACCGGGCUGCACGUGUGUUGAACGCAGAGGUGCCGUCUGUUCGGCACUAGGAUCUCUGGUGAUUUGGAUCACGACGAGUACGACUCCUUCAACCCCGUUCUCUUGAAUGCUUCCGCUUAGCGAUCUACAAGGGUAUGUAGAUGCACUCUCCUUCCCCUUGUUGCUGGUUUCUCCAUAGAUAGAUCUUGGUGACACGUAGGAAAAUUUUUAAUUUCUGCUAUGUUCCCCAACACUUUCCAGGCGCGCGUGGCGAGAGGCUGUGCAGCCAACGGUGCGAGGUGGCAAGCGACGCUGACAAGAUUGCCAUCGUGGCAAGCAGUGGCGCCCCUGACGGUCCCUUUUUUGCACUGUUUGGGCGACACAGACGGGCAUUUAAUGCCUUUGUCCCCUGCCGUCAGGGUUAGGUAUGAUACGCUGUUCAGGUAGUUGUACCAACCGCAACUCCUUUUCCAUUUUUGCCCUUGCCUACGUUGCCACCUGUCGGUGACCCCUUGAGCAUAUAAAAGGAGGCCCAUGCGCAACGUAGAGGGGGGUUCGAAACCAGAAAACACUCACGCUCGGUCUCGUUAGCAGCUAGAGUGUACUGUAGCAUUCAGCGCUCCCGAGCAAGAACACUAUACAAACCACAAAGCAGCAGUAGGAGUAUUAUCUCUCCGGAGAGCUCCGAAGCUGGGUAAAUCGCUCGUCUGCUUCGCCUCGAUCUGCUCUUCGUGCGAUCUCCGCCCCCCGCCGAACCGAAAGGGGCCCGGUGUGACGCCCGGAUGAUUAGCUACAGUUAUCCCACAUUAAUGAUGCCAUGUCACCACGGUCACUGUUGUUAACCUCGCGAUGAUUCGAAACCGUUUCAAAAUUCAAAUUCAAAUUAAUGUCAACAAUAAAAGUUUUUGAAAGUUAAAACAAAAAUGUUCGGGAGGUGCCAUAAUUUGCAUAUGUAAGUAUGGUGCAAUAAACACAUUUUUAUAAAAUGCCUAGAUAUUUUAUAGUGGAUGGAAACAACAAAAUAAUUAAAUAAAAAGAAAAGCAGAACCUAACUAAAACAAAAAAACAAAAGCCUGCCGCCCCCCCCCCCACUAGGCGUCGGCCCAGCUGGCCAUCGGGCCAACCAGGCCGGCCCACCCGCGCCUACUAACCCCCACCCUGGUCAAACCCUAUCCCACCGACACCCCCACUCCCCCACUCACUCGCCUCUUCCUCUCCCCCGUCUCCUCUCGAUCCCAUCUGGAUCGGGGAGGGGCCCGACCCCGACGCCGCCAUCGCACCUACGCCCCAUCGCCAUCCCCUGCCGCGCCGGAGCCCCACCACCACUGCCGCGCCCGCGCCGGGGAAUCCCCCGCCUAUCGGCGUCCUCGCGCCAUCGCCGCGCAGAAGCUCCUCCCUCGCCGCCUGAAGGCCUCGCCGUCGUCGGAUCUCCCCACCGGACCUCCUCAUCUCCUUAUCGCCGGUCUACCCCAGGCCUCGCUGCCUCUUCCCUGCAACGUUGGUGAGGCCCCCGGCCUUCGCCUUCCCUACUUCCUCGCCCCCCUUUCCUCUCUAUCACCGCGGCCACCGCGCCCUCGAUGGGGUCCGGCCACGCCCGCGGUCACUGCGCCCCGCUGUGCCCCCUGCUCCUAGCUGCUGCAACUGCUUCUGCUGUUGCCCUGUUGGACCUCGUCCCCUCGCCACUGCUCGUCGGAGCCGCCGCGCCGCGCCGUGCCAACCCGGCUCCCGCGCUGUCCCCUUCACCGCGCCCGACCCUCACACCACAGCCCCGCCUCUGCGUUCGCCGGCGUCGCGCCGCGCGCCCGCCCCUUCUCUCGCUGACUGCAACCCCCGCUCGGGUGCCCAUCCGGGCUCGCCCAUUAACCCGUUAGCCCACACCCGCUAUGGCCCCCUAGCCUAUGACAUGUGGGGCCGUCCCCUAGAACAUUAAAAAAAGAAAUAAAUAAAUAAUAAUUAUAGUUAAAAUAUUAAUUAAUUAAUUAAAGAAUCAAUUAACUUAAUUAAUCUUGUUUAGAUUAAUCUAAUCACUUAGGUUAGUUAAUUAAUCUGUUAGGUUAGUUAACAGUCAAUGACAGCUGGGACCCACACCUUAGUUUGACCCAGUCAAUGCCCUGUUGACUGCUAACAUCAUGAUGACAUCAUCAAACACUGUUUUGGAUAAUGUUGGAUUUAAAUAAAUAAUUAAAAUCAGAAAAAUGAAUAAAAUCUUUAGAAAAUCAUAUCUUUUAAUCCGUAGCUCGGAUUAAAAUAUUUUCAACAUGAAAGUUGCUCAGAACGACGAGACGAUUCCGGAUACGCAACCCGUUCGUCUGCCACACCCCCCUAACAUAUCGAACUCGCAACUUUCCCCCUCCGGCUCCUUUGCCCGAAAACGCGAAACGCCGGGGAUACUUUCCCGGAUGUUUCCCCCCUUCACCGGUAUCACCUCAUACCGCGAUAGAACACGUCUAGCUCUGCUUGUUGUCCUGUUAUGCACUUGCUUGCUAUGUAUUUACUGUUUCUCCCUCUAUUCUCUCCAGUAGACCCCGUGACGAUGUUGAUGCCCCUGUGGUCGACUACGUCACCGACGACCCCUCCUUCUUGUCUGAGCAACCAGGCAAGCCCCCCCUUGAUCACCAGAUAUCGCCUAUUCUCCUCUAUACUGCUUGCAUUAGAGUAGUGUAGCAUGUUACUGCUUUCCGUUGAUCCUAUUCUGAUGCAUAGCCUGACAUUGUUGCUACAUCUGUUGAUACCUUACCUGCAAUCCUAAAUGCUUAGUAUAGGAUGCUAGUUUAUCAUCAUUGGCCCUACACUCUUGUCAGACUGCCUUGCUAUACUAUUGGGCCGUGAUCACUCGGGAGGUGAUCACGGGUAUAUACUAUACAUAUAUACAUACUACAGAUGGUGACUAAAGUCGGGUCUGCUCGAAGAGUACCCGCGAGUGAUUCACGGAUUGGGGGCUGAAAGGACCUUUGUCCCGACGGCCCUUUGUGUGGAUCUUUGUGGCGGAGCGACAGGGCAGGUUGAGACCACCUAGGCGAGAGGUGGGCCUGGCCCUGGUCGGCGUCCGCGGUUGCUUCAUAAUAACACGCUUAACGAGAUCUUGGUAUUUGAUCUAAGUCUGGCCAUUUGGUCUAUACGCACUAACCAUCUACGCGGGAGUAGUUAUGGGUAUCCCGGCGUCGUGGUAUCAGCCGAAGCCUUCGUGACGUCAGCAACUAAGCGGCGCGCGCCGGAUUGGACUGGAACGCCACUAGGCUAGGUCUGCUUCCGGCCGCCCACGCAACGUGCAGGUGUGCUCAGGGCGAUGGGCCCAGACCCCUGCGCGCUUAGGUUUAGACAGGCGUGCUGACCUCUCUGUUGUGCCUAGGUGGGGCUGCGACGUGUUGAUCUUCCGAGGCCGGGCAUGACCCAGGAAAGUGUGUCCGGCCAAAUGGGAUCGAGCGUGUUGGGUUAUGUGGUGCACCCCUGCAGGGAAGUUUAUCUAUUCGAAUAGCCGUGUCCCUCGGUAAAAGGAUGACCCGGAGUUGUACCUUGACCUUAUGACAACUAGAACCGGAUACUUAAUAAAAUACACCCAGACAAGUUCCACAGACAACCCGGUGAUCGCUUUUCCACAGGGCGACGAGGGGAGGAUCGCCGGGUAGGAUUAUGCUAUGCGAUGCUACUGGAGAUGCUACUUGGAGAUGCUACUUGGAGAUGCUACUUGGCGAUGCUACUUGGAGGACUUCAAUCUACUCUCUUCUACAUGCUGCAAGACGGAGGCUGCCAGAAGCGUAGUCUUCGACAGGAUUAGCUAUCCCCCUCUUAUUCUGGCAUUCUGUAGUUCAGUCCACUGAUAUGGCCCUUUACACAUAUACCCAUGCAUAUGUAGUGUAGCUCCUUGCUUGCGAGUACUUUGGAUGAGUACUCACGGUUGCUUUCUCCCCCCUUUUCCCCCUUUCCUUUCUUUCUGGUUGUCGCAACCAGAUGCUGGAGCCCAGGAGCCAGACGCUACCGUUGACGAUGACUACUACACUGGAGGUGCCUACUACUACGUGCAGCCCGCUGACGACGACCAGGAGUAGUUUUGGAGGAUCCCAGGCAGGAGGCCUGCGCCUCUUUCGAUCUGUAUCCUAGUUUGUGCUAGCCUUCUUAAGGCAAACUUGUUUAACUUAUGUCUGUACUCAGAUAUUGUUGCUUCCGCUGACUCGUCUAUGAUCGAGCACUUGUAUUCGAGCCCUCGAGGCCCCUGGCUUGUAUUAUGAUGCUUGUAUGACUUAUUUAUGUUUUUAGAGUUGUGUUGUGAUAUCUUCCCGUGAGUCCCUGAUCUUGAUCGUACACGUUUGUGUGCAUGAUUAGUGUACGAUUGAAUCGGGGGCGUCACAAGUUGGUAUCAGAGCCGAUUGCCUGUAGGAAUCCCCCUUCCACACUCCUUGGCCGAAGUCGAGUCUAGACAUUGCAAAACUUUUACUAACAUGGCUGUGCGGCCCAUGGGCCCACGUCGCCAUUGGGUGGUAUUAGGAUCUUUUACUCCCCGACCUUUACUCUGGGACUCUGAUCUCUCUUCUAUUCGGGUUAAAUGAAUUUUGCUAAAUCUAACAUUAGGAUCUCGUUAUCACUUUCACCCGGAGAGCCCCUUAUUACUAAGGAUCGUCUGCUGCACAUGAAGACCCUGAAGAUACUCACCGCGGUUAACCCGAGAACUUCUAUUCAUCGCGUUUGCAAUUCCCCUUCCAUCGUCAACCCUUAUGGAUAACUACUUGCAGUUGUUAUUCUUACAUUCAUCCCCAGUUAGUCUUGUUAUUACAAGAUACCCCGAAAUACUCGUCAUUGUUUCGAUAAUCCUUUGAGCUUAUUGCCUUGCUGUUCUUUGUCACCUGAAUACCCCUACGGAUAAUUCUCGCACUUAUCGAGUAUCCGCUUAUCCCCAGUUGUUCAUAUGCUUUUCAAAUUACUUGGAAAUACUACCCGAUCUUCCGAGUAUCCUCUUCAAACUAUUGCUCGGCAAAUACUUGUCGGCUUGCAAUAUGGAUGCUUUCCAUAUGUGUAGCAAUAUUCAUUAGUAUCCUUUGACACGAUCAUUUUGAUCCUAUCGAUUCAACAUGUGUGUGAAAGCACGCAAUCAUCAGUUGAUCCUUUUAAAUUAUCUUUCCGGCUCAGACAUCAUUUUUGAACAUGAGCUGGUUCUCGACCAAACUAUUUGUCGUCAAUUGUGCCUCUGGUCUAUCCAACUUAUCCAUCCUUGAUCAGAGUGUCUGCUUCUGAUCCCUUGUUUUGGAAAUCAUAAUUCCUUUGUUAUAUAAGCAUCGAAUUGUUCAGAUGUUCUAUAAUAUGAUGCCCG
Molecule: long non-coding RNA, 58536 nt
Filed under: Triticum aestivum (bread wheat)
Lineage: Eukaryota; Viridiplantae; Streptophyta; Magnoliopsida; Poales; Poaceae
Description: long non-coding RNA (TAES_LNC011232)
Rfam family: MIR1120/MIR1122 microRNA precursor family (bases 25042-25166)
Source: RNAcentral